UGAAAUCUAGGAAGCCUAUAACCUUCUGAACAGUCCAUAGUGGAAAAAAUAAUUUACAAAGUUAGCUCAAAAUCCGGCCCCGCUCGAUGAUUAGCCCCAAUUGGCUUGGUCUGCUCUAAGAUUGAGUAGGACUUGAGCAAAGUGUUUGAAAUCUUGAAUUAAGUUCAUAUUGUAUAAAAAUUUGUUACAAAAAGAUAUAAAAAAAAACUUAGGAAAAAAGAAAAAAGGCCCGGCCCUUCAAGGCCUAUGCGCGGCCUGGUUUGGCCCAGCCCACGAAGCCCGUUUAGACCCAACCUAAUAAACAGGCUGAGUUUUGACCUUUGAAACCUUGAUCCGGCCUGAAAAAUGAAAAAAAGCCCGAAAGGCCCGGCCUCAAAUAUUUGUUGUCUCUAUUGUUCGUGUUCAAAUUUCCUUCUUAUUAUAUAUGUUGUUGUAAAGAAAGUAAUGGAGCUCACAUAAAGAAAAGAAGGAAAUAAUAUUCAAAAAGCUUAAUGAUGAUAUUGGAACUUAAUGAUGAUGUUGGAAGCCAUCCAAUUUGCAUAUAAAUAGACUUUCCAUUGCUUAGCAAAACACUCCAACGAAGAAGAGAGGAAAGAAAGGAAGAGUGAGAGGAAAGAAGAGAGAGUGUGAAAUCUGAGUAUCAGUGAGUUCUAUCUAAGAGAAUUUUGUCAGUGUAAACACCAGAAAAACAAAUAUAAUUCUACUCUCAAUAUUCAGUGGCACUUUUCGUACUCUGAUUAUUUUAUUUUUAUAACAUAUGUUUAUUUAUUUUCACAAAUGUUUAACAUCAAACCCUACAAAAAUGGGCACAAGUUAUGCCUCUCACUCUCAAAUUCUUGUUCAUCCUAUCUUUACAAGCCAAAAGAUGAAAUUCUCAGAGAUACAAGCACCCUGUCUGCAUCUUUAGCCAAAGGCCACUAUUAGAUACUGCUCCUAGCUAUAUAUCAUCAUAACACAUGUCUCAUUCAUGGCUUUAUUUUGGGCCAUUUCACAGACUAUUCACUGAAGCAAUGUUCUGCCUUCAGAGACCCAAAUUUCCACUAUGCGAAUGGGGACCCAAAUUGAGUGAGAAGGUUGAGACUUGAGAGCCAUUUGGUGAAAAUUAAAAAAUAAAAAAUUUAUUUAUCUUGAUAAGAGAUCAACCAGAAGCUCCUCCAUCAAGAAAUCUGUCAUGGCAGUCUCAAUUUCUAAGGCCAUCUCCUCUUGCUCAUACUCAAACUUGUUCCACCUCCCUCCUUUAUGCAUGUCUCUAACACAAGCUUCCUUCUUGUGCUCUAGCCCCCACUCAAGUUCAUUGUGUUCUCCACUCACCCAAGCUUUUGCUUUGCUCACCAUCUCCCAUUGAAAUCCAUCAUCAGUUUGAUUUCUUUGGACACUCAUUUCUUCUCUAAAGAAAUCCAACAGCAGUUUAUCUUCCAAAUGGCCUUCCUCACAGCUGUCUGGUGAUGAGCUAGUUGCUUUGACAUAAUUCAACAGCUCCAUGGCCAUUUCUUCAUCUUCAUCACCCACAUUGGCAAGGCUUUGAUCAAAAGUACUUGUAAAUGAAUCAUCUUCAUCUUCCCCAAAUUGACAAUCAAGCACUGAAACUGGACUGUGCUGUUCAUCUUCAUCACCCAGCAGUAUCUCAACCUGCCAAUGUUCACACACCAAUCAAAUUCAGCACAGUGUACAAUUCUUAUGAACAAAAUUUAAAAGUCAACAUUUUAAAUUUAUGUGAACUAAUUAGGCAUAGAGAUAAUAAAUAAAUAAUAAAAUCCUCUUUUAUUUCAGCAUUUGCCAAAGUGACAGAAAUUGUUGUUACCCAAAAAGGGUGACAAAAACUGUUGCUUUGGACAUACUUAAAUUUGUAUUUAAGUACAUAUUAAAAUAUCAGAUCAAAGUACUUUGGGAUCUAAACGUAAAUGUAUUUUAGGUUAGUAGUAAACUUCUGUUUUGUCUGAUAUGCAUGAUAAACUCUCUGAUAUAUGCUUUAGCCAUGGUUCAUGGUUAAAGAACUUAUUUUUUGCGUCAAAGUUUAGGAGGGAUAGGGAGAUGCCAUUAGGAUUCGAACGUAAGAGUAAGACGAUUAAUUUGCAGACAAAUGCUCUUACUACUAAUCUAUGGACCCGUUGGCGGUUCAUUGUUAAAGAUGACUAGUAAAAAUAGUUCUCCUAUGGCCCACCAAGUACCAUAAAGUACAACCAAGGGCAGGUCAACCAAAUUAAUAGCAUCAAAAGGACCCUCAACAGCAGACACACAAUAUAAAUAUAGAUGCGGUGCACUAAAUAAUUGCUCUACCUGGGGUCCCAAAGCAAUAUUGCAACUUCCUGUCCCUGUUGUUGAUGCCUCCUCCUCCAUGAAAUCCUUGCCGACACAUGGUAAAUAUUUUUUACCAACCUCCUCAUCAGCGUGAGGGUCAGAGUUACUACCAACCAAAGACGGUAAAAACUCUGCGGUAAAAUCACUGUCACACCAGCUUGACCCAUUGCUGCUGCUGCUACAAGUUGUACAAGUAGUAGUUGUGGACCCUGUUAUGGUGGUGCUUGUGGUACAAUGGAGAGGUGAAGAAGCAUAAUCCAACGGUGGAGGUGGAGGUAACAUUUCAUCGCGGAACGAUGUCCACCGUAUGAUGUCCUUGACUCUCACAGUAAUUUGGACUUGGUUUUGACUCUGCUUUCUCGAUGAGCUCUGAAAUUUUGACUGCAGCAGCCUCCUUGAGAGGCUUCGAGGUAAAAAGGAGGGAGAUUUUACCGUGGUAAAUGGGAUGUUUUUAACUGCAUUCAUGAGGGACUGGAAGGCUGAGAUUGUGGUGGAGGCUGCCUUUGAUCUGCUUCUGAGUAAUUUGCUGGUAAUGGUGGGGUUAUUUUUUGAGUUUGAACUUGUUGGUUUUGGAUCAAAUUCAAUGAGGUUCUUCUGGGGACUCCUGGGAUUGAAUGGUGAUCGUUUUCUGGGGAAUGAUUUGAACCCACUUGAAGAACAUGAGUUAGAAUUCUCAUUGAGGAAAUCUUUGAGGAGCAUUCUAGGCCUGCGCUCUAUUGGACAAGGCUUUCUUUGAUGCUGCUGCAACAUUUUUUUGUGAGAUGAAAAAGUAAAGAGAUUGAGAAAAUAAUUAUUACCCAACAAGCAAUUUUUGUGGUUUGAGAGCUUCAAGCCUUCAAAUUGGAUGAUCCAAAGAUUAUAGGCAGACUUCAAAGAUGAAAUGAUCAGAAGAGAAUUGUGGGAGAAAAGGGUUGGUCUGAAAUUAAAGAGUGAAGUGGGAGAGAGUGAAAGAAGAGAGGAAGGAGGAGCUUAUAUUUAAAAGGGUUUGGUGAGCAUUGCAAUAAGAAUAUGAAGAAAGGGAGAGGUAGCUUCUAGGUGGGGAUCUCCAGGUAGUUCAUGAGGAUGAAUUUCAGAAAGAAAAAAAGAAGCAAUAAAAAUGGGGAAAAUGACAAACAAGUGUAGGAGGGUGGAUGCUUCUAUUUUGCAGUUAUUUUAAGUGGAGGAAGAAAGGACUGGGUGAGUGAUUUUGUGAGAUCUCUUGGUCAUUUGGACUCAGAGGCAUGUUUUUUGAGAGAAAGUGGGUUGACCUUAAAUCAACUUGGGCAUACUUAAUAUCUGUACUUGUGAGUUUGAUCACAUUGUCACAUGUAGGAAAAAAAACACUUUUUUUUUUUUGGGUAACAAGAAUAACACUGUUUUGCUCUCUCCGACAAUAACACAAUAGCAUGUGAGGGAUUGUUGCAUGAGAGAAUCUCUCUCUCACAUGUAGGAUUGAAUUUGUAUUUUGUACUAGCACAUUGAUUGAUUGCAUGCUGCUGCCCAUAAUGUUCUUAAAACUGAUCUUAUGGCCAAUAAAAUUUUUUGAAGAGAUUGCAGCAAGUGUCAUGAAUCUCAUGCUUGUUAAUUUGAGUAUAUUUAAGCAAGUUUUUAGAGGAAAUUUGAAUCAAAUCAAGAUUAAUGUAGUAUAAUAGGAAAACGUUCCACACAAAUUAUAUGGCUUUGUUGUGUUAUAAGUCUAUCAAUCUAAAUGAUUGAUUUUGUGGGAUUUUGUUUAAAUACAUAAUCUAGAUGGUCAGUAUGAUAAUUUAUCAUGAAAUAAACAUGUCUUGAUAUAAUCUAAUAAUUAGAUGAUAUAAUGGGAUGAAGCAUGACAACUUGUUGUAUAGAAAAACCUGUUUUUAGGGUAUGAAAUAACUAUAUGUCUUGGUAUUUUCGGUUGAUACUAACACAAAACUUCGUCGAAAGUCAUUCUUUUUUAUUUAUAAAUUACGGUAUGAUAUAGAUGUAUAAAAAUAACUAUUUAACAUUAUAAAAAACAAAAUUUAUGUCUACGUAUCAAAUUAUAAUUUUUUGUUGUUGAAAAAAUAACUCGUUACGAAAUAAAAUAAGGAGUAAAGUAUUUUUCAUAAGUGUAACCACAAAAUCAUGGUGGGUUGCAAGCAUGGCCACUUUGGCCAUUGACAAUUACAUUGUUGGUAUGAUCAAUCCAAAUUGGUACAAGAUCUUUAAAAAUUUGGAACUUGUCCACUAGUUCACCGCCAGGUCAUUUAUGUGAUCACAUGUGGCUGAUCCUGAUAAGCCUAUAUGUUACACAUGCAAUUGGCUGUGGGCCCCAACCAUCGGAAGGAGGAUCCGAUGCUGUGUAUCUGAUUCCGAUCAUAAAUGGUGGACUCCGCGCGCCAGUGUCGGCUCCUCUAGUCCACAUCACACCCACACGCACACAAUUUUCAUAGCCGGAUUUGCCUAAGGUUGAUACGGUAAUUUCACCACUUGAUCAUCAUCAAUAUCAAAUAUGGAAUGCCAUGAAUGAGUUAUAUUUCUCACCAAAUAUUCACAUUGUCUGCCUCAACUCAACUAUCACAUAAUCAAUGGAGAAAUAUUCCCAUGGGCAUGGUGAUGCAUCCAUCUCUUACGUAACUAGGGCAAAAACAAUUAACUUCUCACUGCGAGCUAAAAUUCUUAGACGUCAGUCUUAAAUUUCACACUAGAAAUCAAUUGACUCUUUGGUUUCAUAAUUUUCACUUUAAAUACUAAAUUAGAUAUUUUAUGACAAAUGACUUUUGAUAAGAUGAAAUGCGCACUACUACAAAAAAGCAAAAAGACGACGGUAAAUCACCGUCGUGUAUUUGGUUUUUCAAUGGUCGUGGAAUCCACCGUCAUCUUUUCCCUCAUAAACCACGACGCUAAAUAACCGUCGUUGUUAAACAAUACAACGUCAUCAAAAAAUACAAAACGACGUCUUUGUACUGCAAAAAGAUCUAAAAAAAGCAAUCGAGGAUGAUAAUAGACGACCAAUUCUCUAAAAAGACCGUCGUUAAAAAGGGAAAAUAUGACACAUAUUAAGAGAACAAGGCCGCAAGAUAGACAUACAACGACGACAAUAAAAAUACGCCGACGUUAAAUAUAAUUUUCACGACAAUAAAAAAUAUGACGUCUUUAAAUACAUUAGAAGACGACGUUAUUGAUACCUACUACGUCGCACAUAUAAACACAACCGUCGUACAAUUAAUUUUCCACUUCGAUUUUUCGAUAAAAGAUGACGUGGAAAUAGUUGUCAGUGUCAUUAUUUACGACGUAUGUAUUUCUAUAGUAGACGUUGAAAAACUAAACAACGUCAGUUACAAAUAUAUGAGAGUCGUAUUAAAAAAUUUAUACGUCCUAUUUUCAGAAACAAACAACGACCAUAAAUAUUAGACGUUGUUAAAUACAACAACGUCGGAAAACAAUAAAAACAGACGUGUUUAGUCUGCUAAAGUUCUACAACGUCUCUUAUUUACAAAAAACCGUCGUGAAAUAAAUUUUCCACUUCGAUUUUUCUAAAAAAGAUGACGUGGAAAUAGUUGUCAGUGUCAUUAUUUACGAUGUAUACAUUUAUAUAGUCGACGUUGUAUUUAUAUGUAUUCAUUACUCACGACGCACUUAAUAAUAUAGACGACGUUGAACGUCUAAACAACGUCGGUUCCAAAUAAAUGAGAGCCGUAUUACAGAACAUAUAGACGGCGUAGAUUAUGAUGGGAGCCGUAUUACAAAUAACGUCGUUUAAUUGUUAUUAGACGGCGGUUAUAAUGAAUUUCCGUCGGAAUUAAUUUCGUUCCUCUUCGUUUAUAAAAGAACUUGCGACGUGGAAAAUGUAUGAUGACGUCGUAUUUUUUAACGUUCAGAUUACAUAUCUCGUUUUUUAGACGUCGGUAUUAUGGGAUUGGAGUCGUGUUAUUUUGAAUUACAUGGCGGUUCUUUAUCCUUCACCGACGUGAUAUCCUGAAUAAUUGCUUCACAAUAGCGUCGUGGUUCUUCAUUGUUACGUUGCUUUAAGACGUCGGUAAAUAUGCUGAAUAACUGAUUCACAAUAACGUCGUGUUUUAUUUGAACGUAGAAAGUGAAGAAAUCACAUUACAAUAUUUUACAAAAUUAAUGUCAUACACUGCCAAUUACAUAAGCAUCAUUCAAUCCAUAUAUCUUCACACCCAUCUCGAAUAUUUUGACCGCCUAACUCACCUACCAGUUCAUCAAAUGUGUCAACAUUUGGCAUCCCCUCUAGUAAAUGGCUCACACUCAAUUAUCACAUCACCUAAUACUUCAUCACCAAUAACAUCAUUAUAUUCUCUACUAGGCAUUGAUAACACUACCGACCAACCACGAUGCAUCGGGUCGUCAACAAAAAAUAUUUGUUUGACUUGAGAAGCCAAAACAAAUUGGUCAUUCCUAUGUCCAAUUUUACUCAAAUCUACAAGGGUAAAUCCAAGUUCGUCGACUACAAGACCAGAACUAUCUAUCCAAUCACACCUAAAGACUGGGAUUGUAAACUUUUGGUAGUCAAGGUCCCAAAUUUCUUGAAUGACACCAUAGAAACCCAUAUUUGAGAGAAUUGGGUUUUUAUCCUUGGCACUAGCAACUUGCAUGGUAUGUGCAAGUAAAUAAACUCCACUAUUUUGAGUUGUCCGCACAUCAUCUUGUGCCUUGAUAUUGAAUUUAAUACCUUUAAUAAGAUAGCUCCUAUAUAAUGGCACUGACAUGUUUGGACCAGCUGCUAGCCACCUUAAAUUUUCUGAUACGCCAUGAUUGUCUUCCUCAAGUUCACUUUGAACCUGCAAAUUAAUCAUAUCUUAAUUCAUCCUAACAUAUAAAUAAGAAGAAAAUUAAAAGAGAAAUACGUUAUUCAACAACAUAUACCUUGAAGCGUAGCCAUUGAAUGAAAGUGCUAUUGUGCUUAUCCUGCAGCCACUUUGUUCUCUUUCUAAAUUUUGGAUAAGCAGUCUUGAUGUGGAUCAUAUGUUGCCUACAUGACACGAAAAAUUCAAGCAUUACGGUCCCAAAUAUAUAAGAUAAACAUAAGAAAUAAUUUUAAAUGGAAACUUAAAGAAUAAAACUCAUACGUACUCGAUAUAAGGUAGGACUUCCUCCGUAUUCUCCAAGACAUAUAGAUGUGCUUGAUUCAACAGGUCCUGAUCAACUACGCUCACUGUGCAACCUGAUAAUGGCUUUGAAACUCCCAUCUUUUGGCUUGAAGGCACUCCAACUGUACUAACAUCAGAUAAAUGCUGAGUACAAAACUCUACCGCUUCUUCAGCUAUAUACCGCUCAGCAAUGCAACCUUCGGGACGAGUACGAUUCUGAACAUACCCCUUCAGCACUUUCAUAUAUCUUUCAAACGGAUACAUCCACCUAAAAUAUACUGGCCCACAUAGACGAACUUCUCUGACAAGAUGUACUACUAGAUGAACCAUGAUAUCAAAGAAUGAAGGGGGAAAGUACUUCUCAAGCAAACACAGAGUAACUACUACAUCUUCUUCCAACUUAUCUAGCUUGGAAACAUCAACAGUCUUUGCACAUAUAGCAUUGAAGAAGAAGCACAAACGAGUUAUUGCAUACUUUGCAGGCUUCUCCAAAACAGAACGAAUUGCCACAGGGAGCAAUUGUUGCAUUAAGGUAUGACAAUCAUGUGAUUUAAGGCCAAGAAGUCUUGAAUCUUGUACAGAUACAAGAUUUUUAAUAUUUGAAGAAUAACCUUCAGGGACCUUCAUACCAUAGAAAGAAUUGCAAACCUCUCUCUUCUCUGCUCUUGACAAAUUCCAAGGCCCAGGAGGCAAACGAGUACGUCUUUCUCCAUACUCGGGUUGCAAAUCAGUUUUGACCCCCAUGUUCAAUAAAUCUAAUCGAGCAGCAAUCCCAUCUUUAUUUUUUCCAUCAAAAGAGAUGCAAGCCUGGCCUCCACUCGCUGUCGAAGGAAAGUUCGCUUCUCAGGGAAAUCUGAAGAUCAGAUGUGCCUGAUCCUCUGCUUGAUUUUCUUGCCUAAGAAGAUCCGUCGGAUUUAUUGUGAUAGCCUCUUCCUUUAUCCGUAGAGCUUCAGAAGAAGAAGAUGGGUUUCAAGAAUGCGAUAAAGAAUAGAAAUGGCUUCAGAUGGCCUCUAAAGCAUGAGCAAUUGAAUCAGUAGUUUCUGGGAGAUAUGAUGAAGACAUUGUCAAUGCUUUGAACUACACAAGUCCUGCAGAAAGAUAUGUUAAAGAAACUGAAACAACGGCGGUUUUCUGUUUUACCGUCGUCUUUUCUCGUCGUCUAUAUUAAGUUACGAUGGCGGUAGAUUUAUAAUUACCGACGUAGAUUAUUUUGUUAAACGUCGUUAAGUGUACUACAACCGACGUGGAUUUUAAUUUUAAAUUAUAAAUGGAGUUUUUUUUCCCGUAUUCUUUCAGUUUUAGUUUUCAAUUCCAAAGCAUGAUAAAUAGAUUUUUCUUUCCCGAGGAAAUUUAAAAUGAGGGAAAUUAAUGUUCUAGAAUUUGUAAACUAACACGACGCAAUAUUUGCAAAUCUGUGUCAUCUGUUAAGAUUAUGAUGUGGAACAGAGUUCCAUCUGGUAAGAUUUCGUAACCCUUGGGAUCUCAGACAAAACUGAUUAUGUCGGCGGUGUUCUAUAUAAACCGUCGUGGUUAUUUCAAUUCUUGUCAUUAAGUAGAUCUACCGACGUAGGAUAAGAAAAUCAAAGAAAAAAAUUGUUAACAAAAAUUCUUAUUAAGACGACCGUUAAAAUUAAAGGUACGACGUAUAAAAUGAAUAAAUACGACGAUAAAUUUUAUUGUACGAUUUAAAGAUAACGUAGUAGAACUAUACGAGAAUGACGUCGAUAUAUUUAUAUUUUCCGUCGUUGUAAAUUAAUUUAAUACGGCGAUAUUUUGUAUUUUAAAGCCGUGGAUUUGUUUGUAAUUAUACGGCGUCUUAUACGAAAACCUCGUCGUGUUAUUUUAUGAGUAAAAACGGCAGUUUUUAUUGAAAUCGUCGUCUUUACUUUCUACGUCGGUCGAUUCAUAACUUCUGCCGUUCUUUGUUGGCAUUGAUUUUACACUGCGGAAAUCUGUUUCAAAUAGACGUCGGUUGUUUAAUUAUGUACGUCGUUGUUUUUGAACAGCCAUUUGAAACUCCAUUUUUUAGUUGUCUAAGGUUGUAUUACACGACGGUGUUUUUAGAACCGUCGUCUUUUUAUAAACCACGACGGUUUUCACUGAGACCGUCGUUGUUUUCUGGUCGUCUUUUUCACUUUUUGUAGUAGUGGCGAUACGGACAAAGAUAUAUGGAACGACUUACUGUCACAACAAACCCUUUUCACUUUGAAUAUGUAUGAAAACAUAAUAAUAAGAUAGAGAAGGGAUAUAAUAAUUCCAUAAGUUAAUAAUAUUAUCCCUUUAAUUAUAGUGUACAUUUGUUUGUAGGCCUUUUUAAUUAGUUUCAUAAUGAAUUGUCCAUGAAUUAUGUUGAGUUUAGUUUAACUCAUGACUUUGUCAUUUUCAAUGCCUCAUCAUUCAUCACUCAUCACUUUGUGUUCUUGUCUUAAUCCCUAUUACAAGGACACAAGUCCCAUGCAUCCUCACCAUUUUCCUUUUGGGUUUUUUUAUUUAUUUAUGUAGAGUUAUCUCUUCAUAUUCAUGGAAGUAUUAUAUCCAAAACUUGAUCGUACACAAUAUUUUAUUUAUUAUUCUCUCUAUUUCUUUUAAGCUUAAUUUUCAGGUAACCUCCUAAGCUUCAACAAUCUUACAAACAGGCAUAUUCAGAGCAAACAGGUAACCUCUCUUCUGCCACUCCUCUAUGUCUCUUUCUCCCUCUAUAUAUAAUAUAAUAUCUAUUUAAUUCCAUGUCAUCCUGUUUUUGUGUACCUUCCAUUACUAUCUAAGAAGAUGUCUUGUGAUAAUAUAUACUAAAAGGAUCAUGCACGUAUACACAAAAUCAUGGGAGUUGUAAAAGAGAGAAAUUGAGAUAUGUAAAGUAAUUGGUAACAAGUGCACAUUUCUAAUUGGAAUAGUUGAUUUUCUAAAUCACAAUUUAAAGAUCAUCCACGUAAACCAGUUAGCAUUUGGUGUACUUAUAUUUGUCAACAAAUAAUGUGUGUAGUAACAUAAUUUAGUAGCACUCGAGAGAACGAGUUAAAUCAAAGGCAACCUUUCCCACAAAAAAAGAAGAAGAAAAAAUUGAACUCUCAAAUUAAUUUACUGUGAAAUUUUUCUCUCAUCAAUAUUUGUUUUGGGGACGUAGAAAUUUGCAAAUUAAUAUCUAUAAAGUAUAAACUAAUGCAAAUAAAGGGGUCCUUUUCUUUUAAUUUUUUAAAAAUAAAUAGUCUAGCCGUGCGGCUAUACUCUGGUUCUUUUUUAAAAAAAUAAAAAAAUAGUAUAGCCGUACGGCUAUACUCAUUUUUUAUAUAGCCGGCCGGCUAUACUCGUUUUGACAAGUGGCGCCGCAUUGCUUGGCGGGCGCUAGGCGAGUCUUUACAAAUCGUAUAGCCGCGCGGCUAUACUCUGAUUUUCUAUAUUAAAAAAGAGUAUAGCCGCUCGGCCUUACUAGGGUACUUUGUAAGUUUUUUUAUAAAUAGUAUAGCCGGGCGGCUAUACCCUUUCAAUUUCCGAGGUCCCUGUACCCGGACUCUCCCUAUGUUAGUGUCGGAGGCCCGAUUUGACAGGGAUUUUUUGGCCAGCCCAAAUUCGUAAAGUAUUUUUCGGGCUAGACUCUAGUUCAUGUUUUCAACCCAACCUAGUUGUAUCCAAACCCAAAUUAUGUUGAACGGAGAAGCCCAUUACUAACAAACAACCCAACGGCACAAAACCGUCUUGUCGUCUUCUUCCUCCUCCUUCACCUUCUCGGUUGGUACGAUGAAUGUGUAAGCCGUCUUUUUACUGCCAGACCCAUAUUUGCAAAUUCCAGAGUGAUGGGUGUUGGUGGUAAAUUCUGGGACUUGCUUAAACCCUACGCCCGGCAUGAGGGUUUUGAUUUCUUGAGGAACAAGCGGGUUGCUGUCGACCUCUCCUUCUGGCUCGUGCAGCAUGAAACCGCUAUCAAGGACCGUGCACGAAGCCCCCACCUCAGGCUCACCUUCUUCCGUACCAUCAAUCUCUUCUCCAAGGUUCAGUUUUCUCUCUGUUUUUGUGUUUUCUGCUUGUUUUCUGAGAAAAUGUGAGAAAUUCAAAGAGAAAAAAAGUUGGGUUUGUGGCUUUUCCGUUAUACACAUUUUGGUUUGGGGAAUAUGAAAGUUGAUUCAAGUUGUUUGACAGUGUAAGCUUAUUUUAAAUUUACUUAUAUAAAUUUAAAUGUAUAAAAUAUGGGGAAAAAUGGAAAUUUGAUUGAGUUUUUGCGUUUUAAAUAAAAAAAUAACCUUAACUUGGCCAACUAUUUCUUAAGCUCUCUAAUUUUUGUUGUUUUAUGUAAUGCUGUUUUAUUUGCUUGACUGAGAUAAAGUUACAGCCCUUGAAUUGAGAGUGAGCUUAACUAUCGGUCACUGUUUAUGCAGUUUGGAGCAUUUCCAGUCUUUGUAGUUGAUGGAAGUCCGUCACCUCUAAAGUCGGAGGCAAGGAUUGCAAGAUUCUUUCGUUCUUCUGGUAUUGAUUCAUCAAGUUUGCCUGUGGCUGGCGAUGGUGCUUCAGUUGAGAGAAACAGCACAUUUACAAAGUAUAUUCAAGAAUGUGUGGUGAGUUGUUUCUGAUGUUAUGGUUUGUUAUCAAUUUAAUAACUGCAUUUUGUGUUUGUGCAUUGACAAGUACUGUUUUCGAACUUUGGUGCAAACUCUUCUUUCGGUUGCUUUGAAAGUUCUUUUCGAUGUCAAGAAAAAGUUUCCAUAUUUCCCACAAAGUUUGUAAGUUCAUUCCACUUGAACCUUUAUCAUCCAAGAAGAUUUUAAUUCUUUGGCUUUUCAAAUUGUGGUGGUGAUUAUAUGGAGUAGUCUUACCUUUGACAUAUUUUCCGCACUUGUUGGCUAACCCUGUAUGAAUGAGAUUGUUUGAAGCGAAUUGCAGUCCUUUUAUUUGCUCAUGAUUUAGUAGCAGACUGAGUGUUCAUGCUUAUCCAUAUGCUUUCAUUAUUUUCCCUUGCAACAUGUACAUCUGGAUGAAAAUUUUGUGACCAGUUUUUUUUUUUUUUCCUGGUCUGAAAAGUCUAUGAUCAGUUUAAUUCUGUUAGAAUCUGUAAUUAUAUCUUUGUGAAUAAUAGAUAUUUUCUUUUGGUUUGUUGCCGAGGCAUUUGCAUGCUUAUCAGUUAUUUACUAAAGGUGGUUUAAUAGGAACUGCUUGAACUGCUUGGGAUGCCUGUAGUAAAAGCAAAAGGAGAGGCUGAAGCACUGUGUGCCCAGUUAGACGCCGAAGGUCAUGUAGAUGCUUGCAUCACAUCUGACAGUGAUGCGUUCCUCUUUGGGGCUAAGUGUGUGAUAAAAACCUUUCAAUCCAAUUCCAAGGUAAGUAGUAAUGUCUUUGUAAGUUUAACCAUGCCCCAGUUGGGCAAUUGAUUCUGCUCUUUCAUAUUGAUUUUUUAUUCUGCGAACUCAUAUCUCUUCUCUUGCCAUUUCUGUUGCCACCAUCUUUUUAGGCCACUCAGAGAUUCUCAUUCUGUGCAGGAACCAUUUGAAUGUUACUAUAUGUCAGAUAUCGAAGCUGGUCUUGGUUUGAAGAGGAAACACUUGAUUGCCAUCUCUCUUUUGGUCGGAAAUGACUAUUAUUUAAAUGGGGUGCAAGGCAUUGGGCUUGAUACAGCUCUUCGUAUUGCCCAAACUUUUAGUGAAGAUGAGAUAUUGAAUAGGUCAGAUACUAAAUGGAUUCAUUCAUAUAUGGCGUUUUUGGUUUUCUGUUACAAAAGUUAUUUUAAUUGAAAUGUAAUUUUUGUGCUCAAACUUUUUAAUUAGUUAAGUUUGUAUUAUAAAUUUUGCACAGGUUACGUGAAAUAGGAAAUGGUGAUGCUUCUCUCUUGCAAGGUGAAAUAAGAUCUGUGGAUGAUAGUGUACCCAGUCCAGAUGGGAGCUCAUUAAAAAGAAAAUUCUCUCAUUGUUCCUUUUGUGGGCAUCCUGGCAGCAAAAGAACUCAUUUCAAGUCUUCCUGUGAAUAUUGUAGUUCCACAAUGGGUGAGGGUUGCAUGAAAAAAUCAGAGGGUUUCAAAUGCAGUUGCUCUUCUUGUGAUAUGGUACAUUUAUUUUCCCUUCUGAUACCUAUCCUUUAUAGUGCAUUUUUUGCGUCAACAUAUCGGGCCCCGUCACAAGUCGAAUUCAAAUAGUGUCUGUUACAAUUUUCGGCAAUGUGCUCCAUAUUGCGUCCUUAAGUAUAAGCUUUUAAUGGUAAUGGCAGGAUCGUAAAGAAAAGGAGCAGAAGAAGCAAGAUAAUUGGCGAUUGAAAGUUCUCAGCAAGAUUGCACUGGAGCCGAAUUUUCCGAAUGAUGCGAUUAUUGAAAUGUAUUUGUGCAAUAGCCAUGGUUACUUCACUGGUAUGUUUUAACAUUCUUCCUAAAACUGGUACAACUAGUAUAAAUUCUUUUUCAAUAGCAUGGACUGAAUAUGACUUAAGAAAAUUAUGUCUUCUUCAGAAAAAGGAGCUUCUUUCUGGCAUAUGUUGUUUUGUGAAUGUAUCUUGUCAAUUUCAGUGCACUAUAAUGUUUUAAAAUUUUGUGCACAGAAAAUGAUGGACCCUGCAUAUCAUGGGGAAGUCCAAAAACUGAAAUGGUGGUUGAUUUCUUGGCUUAUCAUCAGCUGUGGGAACCAUCUUACAUUCGCCGGAGGAUGCUUCCGAUGUUAUCAACUAUUUUUUUAAGGGAAAUGGCUAAAGAUCCUUUAAAAAGUUUGUUAUAUGGGCAGUAUGAGUUUGAUUCCAUAGAUCGCUUGAAAAUAAGAUAUGGGCAUCAAUUUUAUGUGGUCAAGUGGAAAAAAUCCGCACCUUCUUUGGGUUGUGUCAGUUGCACAGUCCCUCCGGAGGAGUCAGAUGUGCAACAAGAUGAUGUUAUGGAAGUUGAUGAAUCCAUUAAUCCGUUCGAUGAGUCUGAUGUUCCUACAAUUGAUAUCAAUAAUGGUUGUUGCUUUUUGUUGACUGAUGAAAAUAUGGACCUUGUCCAUGCUGCUUUUCCAGAGGAAGUUGACAGAUUUUUGCAGGAGAAGGUGUGAUUUCUUUCCCUUUUCAUUUCUAUGUGUUUUUUGUUUCUUUCUUAUGUGUGGUUUCCUUUUCCAUCUUGCGUACCUGUUGAAAUUAAAGAAAAUCUUGUAAGCUUUUGUGCUUAAAUCUUGCAGGAACUGAAAGAAUUGAAAAGAAGAAAAACUGAGAAGCCAGAAACAGCAGGAUCAAGAGGCGUCCAGCUAAAUAUCACAGAAUUCUACCGUUCGGCCAAAGUGUAUGAGACAGAACCUGGAGAAAUUCUAACCAAGAAGACAGAACCUGGAGAAAUUCUAUCAAGUCAGAGAGCUGAAACUAGCAAAGAAAAGAGAAAACCAUCAAGCUCAAAUCUCCCCAAGUCUGUAAGACGACGUCUUUUGUUUGACUAAGGCAUUUUCAGAUUUUGGGCCUCUUGCUGCUGUUUAGUAGGAAAAUUAAUUGAAGAUGUAAAGUUAUCACCUCCUUCUACCCCUUACUGAGCUUAGCCUGAUGUGUAAUUUCUGUAAUUAAAUUUUAGAUUUAUAUAGGGUAGGUGCUGAGCAAAAGUUGCAGGGUUUUGAAUCUUCCUCGAGUGAGCAAUGCAAUAUUUCUAGUGCGUUUAUUGUAACAUUUUGUAUAAAGGUGAAUUUGUCAUUUUGAGAUUUUUUUUUGGCUUCAGCAAUUUAUGGACGGAAUCUUAACGUAAUGGGUUUUGUGAAAACAAUUUGAAACUUCAAAGGGCAUUAGUAUAAUUUUUAAAACCUCGUGGAUUUAAUGAAAACAUAUAAAACCUCAACAGUUUUGCAAAUAACUCAAAGGUGGGGAGGGGGGUUGUGUAACGGAAGGUAUUAAAUAAAACACACAUUUUACAUGUGAAAAAAUUUACAAUCUUCUAAACAUGGGAAAUUCAUUAGUGCCCUUGACCUUUUCAUUCUAUAAUUGGCAGUCGUUCCUCAAUAUAAUUGUCAUGCUAUAUAUGCUUUUGACUUUCUCUUGUAGAAAUUAUUUGAAAAGCUAUGGAUGCUCAAAGCUAUUGCCAACUUAUCUGAUCUGUUGAUAUUGUGAGCUUGUGCCUAUGUAACAAUUGCUCUAAUAUUUUUCUGUCAUCAAAGGCCAAAUUGUAAGAAUAAACACAACUCUUUCUUCUGGUAAGUUACAACACAUUGAGCAUUUCAAAACACUACAGAGAUGAUGGGUUAUUUUUGUCUUAUAAAUUUUUUUUUCUGAAGACUAUAACCGCGGCGUGACGCCAUGAGCGAUGAGAAGGCCAUCUCAAUUGAAUCUGUGAACAGUUCUAGUCCAAGACUUGAAGCUGUCAGUGUUUUGGUUGUUGAUGGUGAUUCUGCAUGUCUUGCAAUACUAUCAAGAAUGCUCUAUAACUUGGGGUAUAAGGGUAAACAUUUUUUUCUUUUUCUUUUUGUUGAAUUAUUUGGUUUCAUUAUGGAGUCUUAAUUGUUUUUCUUUCCCUGCAAACGCAGUCAAAACCCAUUUCAUUUUUAUAUUAACAUGUAAUUAUUUAACCAUGUAAUUCUAAUUUCCUUCAGGAUUAUUAUGCUUACCUUGUUUGCCAAGGAAGUUCUAACCAUUUGCCACAUAUGCUAUGAGCCUAUGACUUCCAAAAUUUAUUUUUCUCUCUGACUGUUUGUUUAUUUUUUUUGCAAAUACAGUUUUGUUCUAACAGUUUCCUGCUUUACUCUUGCUAGCAGUUAUGACAGCCAAAAGAGCCUAUGAUGCACUAUCCAUAGCUCAGAAGAAGGAAGAUGAGCUUCAUCUUGUGCUGACAGAGGCUCACUUGCCUGACAUGGAUAAAUAUGAGCUCUUAGAGAAAAUGAAAGCAGUUUCCAAAGUACCAGUUGUUAGUAAGUUCUCAGUUUCAAAAACCCCAUUCAUGUUAUUACUUUGCACUCACCAGAAAACAUUUUAUUCAUGGAGUUAGGCCUCUGAUAGCAUAUGCUGCUGACUUGGUUUUUAUUUAUUUAUGCAGUUAUGUCUGAUGAUGACGAUGAGAAUGCUAUGUUGGGUGGGCUGUUUAAAGGAGCUGUAUUUUAUUUUGUUAAACCACUCACAAUCAACAGCCUAAAAAACCUAUGGCAGUUUGCAAUCAUCAAGAACAGAAAUCAUGUGGUGAUAGAUUUCACUGAAGAGGAAAGUAGUGUUUAUGCUGAAUCCCAGCAGGAGAAUACAUCAAAUGAGGGCUUGGAGAGAGACUCAUUCAUGACGAGAGACCGAUGGUUGGAAAGAAAAAACCCUGAAGGGACAUACAAAGACGAGGAAAGAGAGAAUUCUGAUUCAACUUCCCAAAAGAAGCCAAAGCUAGUUUGGACCAAUGAGCUACAUAAGAGAUUCUUGCUAGCAGUCAGAUUGCUAGGAGUUGAUAGUAAGAGCCCUUUUGAUAUUGGUUCUGUGAUGAAUUUUUUACUUUACUUGGAGCUAUUGAAACUAAGAUAGCUAAUUUAUUUCUUGACUUAGGUGCUCAUCCAAAGAAAAUACUUCAGCAUAUGAAUGUCCCUGGACUCAGGAAAGAAAAUGUUUCAAGCCAUUUACAGGUUUGCUUCUUUGUUGUAUAGGAUUCGGUACCUUUAAUGCAGAAUUUUCAACUUUAUAUAAGGAUAAACUUCUUCUUUUUUUGGUCAGUGAUUUCUGCAACAUUCUUGGUUAUCCAUUUUUCUUUUUUGAGAGAGAAACAUCAACACAUUCUUGGCUCUGCACUCCUUUAUAAAUGUUAUUUUUGCAGAAAUAUCGCCUCUCGUUGAAGAGGGAACAAGAAGCAAUCAUGAAGGCCAGGGCCAGAGGUCCCAAAAAAUCAAAUUUCCCAUCACACCAAUCUUUAUCAACAUUAAAUUUUCGAGGAGGCUGUUCUCAUACCUUGAACCGGUACUCGACCUCAACAGCAUAUCAACCAAAACGCAGAAGCCAUGUUCAGGACCUCAGUAGUCACAUGUCUAGACCUUCCCCUGCAGGUUCUGUAUGUUUUCCAAGUCAAGUUUACUCAAGUGGGCAUCCAACUCUAGGCAAUGAGUCAAGUUUUACAUCAAUGCCAUACCAUUCAAAUUAUAAAAAUGGGCAACCAACUCUAAACAACCAGCUAGAUUAUACUAAUGAUCAUAAUACUAAUCACAUUGGAAAUAGGAUCACCAGCAACAAGGAAUUGGCUGGCUUUAGACAGGUGGGGAGCUUUGUCAGAUACAGUAAUUUUGAUGGGAACAAGACCUUCUCUACUUUUGGAGAUCAUGGUCAUUCAAAUUUAGUAGAUUUCCCAAUAUUCCUUCAUAAUUCUACACAACAAGAAGAGCAACAGCAGAAGCAACUUCAACCACAGGUUCUGUUUUCUCCACCAUUGCAAAUGCCUUCUCCGCCGCCGCAGCCAAAGGAGCAACAACAAAACGACAUUCUUGGGCAGGAAAGGCAACUUCAACCACAGUUUCUGCCAUCAGCACCAUUGCAAAUGCCUUCACCAUCACCUCUCCCAGCAGCAGCAGAGCAGCAAGGAGAACAAGAUGACAUUUUUGGGCUUGAAAGCCAACUUAUGCAGUCACCACAAUGGCAUAUGCCUUCAAUGCCAGCAGCACCAACAGCACAUGAGCAAGAGAAAGAUGACCCGUUUGGGAUUGAAAGUGAAGAAACUGAUGACUUAUUUGACAUUGCAAAAGGCACCACUCAACAUUUCAAUGAUUAAUUUUGAUGAUUUAUGGUGAGUGGCUGGUGAUCAAGCAUCUGACUUAUGUUUAUGCUCUUGUAAAGUAAGCUUCAAUUAAAAGGGUACAUCUCCGUACAUUAUUAGAUAGAGACAAUACAGUAUACUCGCUUGUAAGCUCUUUCUCUCAUCUCAAUGAUAAAGGAAGAGGAUAAAAAAGGAAUAUAUAUGAGAAAUGUAAGUGGACAAGUUGGACUUGAAGUAAUAUACAGCUUUAGUUUUUAGAUUUAUUAUCAUGAUUAACUUACAUUAUUAUAUCUCUGUUUUUUGUAAUUAAAAAAAUUAGAGAGAAUCGAACCGUAAACUUAUCCUAAUCCUAACCCAUUACUCCACCCUCUCUCGCCACUUGAGCCAACCCCAGAGACCUUUAUGUCUUUUAAUUGUGAGUGUAUUCGAACUUACUAAAUAAAUUUUCUAUGCUCUAUAUAUUUGUCAGUAAUUAAAUCGUCCUAUGUUACUACUACUAACAAAAAAAAGUUGUUAUUUGCAUUUAAAAUUGAUUCUUUAUUUGAGUAUCAUCAGACUAUUUUUAAAUUUUAUUAAUUAUAUAUUCGUCUAUUUACUCGAUUAUAAUUUAAUGUCUAUUUGAUUGUUGGAUUAAUUAAUAUUUUAAGGAUAAUCUUUAACGAGGGCACUACAUAGUUGUAAGAGUGCGACUAAAAAAAGUAUUGUGGGUCAUGUUUAUGUUUUUUCCAUAAAUAAAUUUCAGUUAUUCAUCAAUUAAAAAGAAAUUAAGAUAACUGAGGAAGUUUUAUUUAUGGUUGCCAUAUUAUUAUUAUUAUUAGGAGAGUAAUGUUACACUUACCACAUUUUAAUCCCACAUUUCUAUACCACAUGAUGACUCCUUUUACAAUUUGAAUUCUUUGUACGCUUUAUUCUUAUUGAUCUAAUAAAAUUUUAUCGCAUUUUUAUCAAAAUUAAAAAUUAAAAAUUCUAUUUGUCAAAGAAAAAUGGGAUUACCGCAUCCAAAAAAAAAAUUGGCCAUGCAAAAUGUUUUGAAAUUAGAAAGGGAAAAACAAUAUCAACCCAAUUUGCUGCCAGGGGGAUCGGAAUCAAGGACAAUAUUUAGAAUAAUCUGGGCUAUAAAUCGGUAUAUGUAACUUACCCAAAACAAAAUCGGUAAAUGUUAAAAUAUAUUCUAAAAUAGGCAACUAAAAAAAAAAGAAGAGGAAAUUAUGGACUUGGUCACCAAUUUUUAUUGGGUAGAGUACUUGAGGACCAAUUAAGAUUUUCUCUCUCCGUGUUACAUUUUCACUCAUACUUUCCUAAUCACAUAUGUCAAUCUGAUUUCCUUUGGUUACAGAGAUUUAUUUGGUUUCCUCAAACCGUUUGUAUUGGAAUUAAAACUUAGUUCAUUCCAUUAUUUAGGGUUGGCAUUAACUUGAAGCCCAAACCUUCUAUUUCCAACUCACACUAGGAUUAAGCAACUAUAUAACAUUAACCUUUUAAUUUUCACUCUUAAUUUGUUAACGGGUUAGCGCUUUCUUCAUCGAUAACGUUGAUGAGAAAGAUUAGAGAAGAGAAGAUGAGUUUGGUGAGUAAGGUAGGUUUUGGUGAUGGCUUGUCCCCUCUCGAGAUUUUGUCGGAGACGGUUUGUAGUAUAUUCAAGAUGCAUCAAGUGAAACAAGAGCAUUCUUUAGAAUCUCCAAAGAAAAGAAGCUCCUUGUACUUCAAUUUCUUGAAUGAUACGUCUAGCCCUAGCAAUACUACUCCUGUAAGUAUUAAUUUCUCUCAUCACAUAUUCAGUAACUUUUCAUUCUUCUCUUUAGUUUUUUUUUCUAAGCUAUGCAAUUAUUUCCUAACAUUUAAUUUAAUUUAUUCAAUUUGUCUCAGAAAAAAGGAAACGGGCCAGCGAUGAUCACGAGAAAAGAGGCGACAUUGGAGAGUCCUAGCAGUCAUGACGAGGAUGAUGAUGGCUGCCAAGUCCUACUAGUUGAUCAUGCAGAAGAAAGGUCAGAACUGACUUUUCAAUUACAAAUUCCAGAGUAUGUACUCUCUCUCUCAAACUUUCCCUACCUUAUUUAUAAAUGUUAAUGAUUAAUAAUGAACUGAAUAUGUUAAUGAUUAAUUAUGCACUGUGCAUGCCAAUUACUUAACUUGCUGCAAGUUUAAUUUCUCACUAUCCCUGUUUCUCCUACUUUAGAAACUAAACUAAACUGCAUAUAUUAAGCUUAUUGUGUUUUUCUACACUAGACAUUUUUUUUAUGGGUUAAUUAACUAAUUACGUGUUGUAAUUUUUGUCGCAGUUUAGUAAAGGAAUGUUUUCCACACCCUAAGAAACGAAGGUCUUCAUCACCUACUAAUAUUAAUAGCAUCACCCUAUUUGGACAAAAGAUAACAAUGAGCACGACUGGACGUGCUAGUACUAGUGGUAGUAGUAUUGAAUUUGAUCAAAUUCAUCAAGAGCAGGCAAUGACUGUUAAGAAUGCUUCUUUGAAAAGAAGAUAUAUUUUUGACGAGAAUGAUAAAGAUUGGGCUGCUGCUCUUGACAAGAAGAAGAAAAAGGUCAAGUUUUCGGUCAACAUGAAUUCAAGCAAAAGCAAGGGCAAGAACAAAGGCGUACCCGAACCUAUUCAUGAGUUGCCAGAAGAAUUCAAGCAAGUGAUAUUGGGCAAAAUGAAUGGGACAAAGCUCCAAUUAUUGGCACAGAAGAGUUUGUUCGAGGCUGACAUAAAGCCAGGCCAAGGUAGGUUGUUGCUACCUCGAGAGCAAACCACAUCCAAGAACCCCAAGAAGUUCCUCAAGCGCAACGAGAAGGCCAGACUUGACAAAUAUAAAAUGCAGGUUUCAUUGAUAGAUCCCGUGCUUCAGCAAGAAGAUAUUACCUUAGCGUGGUGGAAGCUAUCAAAGAAACCAAAAAAGCGAUCCUUUGUGUUGACACAUACCUGGAAUCACAUUGUUAAUAAGCAUCAUCUAGAUACAGAUGAUUUGGUUCAAGUUUGGUCAUUUCGGGCUAUUAACUCUAAUUUUAAGCAUGACGAUCUUAAUUGUGAUUGUGAUCGUGAUAAUAAUUGUCGUGAUGUUCAGGAUUAUGACAAUGUUGAUGAUGAUCUGAAUGACGAUGAUGGUCAGCUUCAUUUAGCGCUUGUUUUGGUUAGGAGAGGUGAUCAUGUCUUUAAGGAAGAAGGCAACAAAGAAAGUAGUGGAGGACGAGAAGUUGUAGGUGGCAGUAUUUGUGGAAGUUGCAGCCCUGAAAAUUUUGAGAGCAGCAGCCCUGAAAAAAUUGGUAGCAGCAGUCCCAAAGUUGGUGAAAAAAGAUCAAGAGACUUUUAAUCAAGACUCUUUUAUAUAAUAGAUUUUUGUAAAUUUGUUUAGAAUGAGCUUUUUGUAGCUACAACUAGCUAAAUUUGGUAUUUGCAUUAUCAUUAAGAAAUUAACUAACUAGCAUUGUCUGUAAAAGUGAUGAGAUUAUGAAUGGAUCCAUGUACCAUGCGUACAAUUUGUAGAAUUAGCAAUUGACAAUGGGAAAUGUUUCAUUAAAAAAAGCCCCAAAGAAGGCACCAGAGAACUUACUAAAAGCCCCAGGCUCAAAAGACCUUCCAACAAACUAGGAAGGAAAAUAAGAAUUAUAAAUAAAAAAAUUUACAACCCCAACAGUGAACACUGAACAACAGACAUGAACUCACCACCUCUUCUUCUUCUUCAGCAAUCUCUCACGCCAAUAUCCCCAACUGAAAAUCUAAUUCAAGUGAAAUCUCCACUCCCGGUGCACAAUAGCACACUCGGCGCUCGAACACCUGCAUCAUCAUCAUCAUCACUUUGUUAUAUAAGAGCUUGCGCUGGUAAAACAACAAGAAGAGUAGGAAGAGGAGGAAGAGGAAACCCAGAUGACUACCAUGGCACUCUCACUGCUCUCAACUCCAAAGGCCGCUUCCCUAGAAAAUCCCUCGGCCAGGUUUUUCACUUCCUCUCUCUCUCUCUCUCUCUCUCUCUCUCUCUCUCUCUCUCUCUCUCUCUCUCUCUCUCUCUCACUUAAUAAAUUUUCCCUUUUUUCUCUUUGUUUUUUUUAUGUUUCAAAUUCUGUGUUCUUGUGUAGGUUCUUAGACAAUGUGUAGAAGAUAGUAUGUGGGUUUCUUUCCAAUUAUGUUUCUUUAAAGUUUGUUUUCCAAAAUUUAGUUAGAAAUGGUAAGCAGCCUCGGGUUUAUUUUCUGAAUGAUUUGGUUUUGAAUUUUCUUAGUUUGUUUAAUUUGUCUGUAUUUCAGCAUUAUAUGUUGGACUCUGAGAUCAACGAGCAGCUCACUGCUGCGGCUAAUGUUGGAGAAGGUGAUGUGGUGCUAGAAAUUGGGCCAGGAACAGGUUCUUUGACUAAUGUGCUUAUUAGUGCCGGUGCAUUUGUUCUCGCAAUCGAAAAGGUGUGUGUUUCUUCUUGGUUAUCCAAUUAGAAUCCUGGGUCUUUGAAUUUGAAGCCCUGCAAGAAGAGUGGUAUUUGUUGCAAAUUUGACAAAUUGCUUUUAGUAUUUUACACUGAUUUGUAGAAUGUUUUAUGCGCUUUAGGAUCCACACAUGGCUACUCUUGUGAGUGAAAGAUUUUCAGAGACUGAACGGUUCAAGGUAAACCACAUUUUGGUCAUAUUUUGCUCUGUCUUAUGCUACCAAGAAAUGAGCUCUUCUUUAGCAUUCUGACAAACUUGGUAGUGAUAUCACUGAUAUGUUUCUAAAAGUGCUUUGCCUUUGGAGCAACAUCUUUGGAUUCUGAACAGGAUGGAAUUGAAGUUUUUAUGCGCUUUAUGCAUCAUUGUUUUUAUUUUUGUAAUCUGUAGGUUUUGAAAGAGGACUUUGUCAAAUGUCACAUUCACUCUCAUAUGUCAUCAUUGUUGGCAAGUAUAGAGCCAUCCAGUGCAGAUUCAAGACAUGCGAAAGUAAGUACCCUUCUUGGUUGAUUAAAAUGAAUUUGACUUCGUAAUGAUGCAUGCUAAUUUCGCAACAUUCCAUGCUCAAAUGGAAACACUUGGUAUUUUCUCCAUGUUUACAAAUAUCCUAAAAUAUGGCCUAUUUGAGUUUCUGAUUGCAGGUAGUAGCUAAUAUACCCUUUAAUAUAAGUACAGAUGUUGUCAAACGACUUCUUCCAAUGGGUGACAUCUUUUCUGAAGUAGUACUCUUACUCCAGGUUGGCAUUAUUCUAUUGAUCUAUGAUUCUAAUUGUUUCAAGUUAUGUAAUUACAUUAUGUAGCCCUGUAUUAAUAAUCCUUUCAUGAUUGGUAAUGUUAUCUGGAUUGUAUAUCUCAUUCAAGCAUAGCCUGAAGCUAACACCUUAAUAGGAUAGGGAAAGGGAUAGAGAGAGAGUAUGAAUUUGAAUCUUUAAUGAGUAGAGCAAAUCGAACUAGAUCACUAGUAAUUUAUGGAUUUGAUAUGAUUCAUAAUUUGAUUCCUUCAUCACAAUAAUGGUAAAAUUAUUUCAGGAGGAGACAGCUUUGCGGCUGGUGGAAUCAUCUUUGCGAACAUCUGAGUACCGGCCCAUCAAUAUCUUCGUCAAUUUCUAUUCAGGUAUCUCUAUGUUUGGAAUUAAUUUGGUAUUUAUCCUCUACAAACCAGAACCUAUGAGAAAAGGGUGAUAACUUUUAUAUGGUGAAAGACUGGGAUGAGUUGCAGCCUGAUAAACUUUUAUGCCAGUGAGAUACAAGUGUAUAUACUUCUGUUCCUUUUUGGUUUUUCUGAAUCUGGGUUCUGUUUUUCAUUUUCCUUUUCAGAUCCUCAAUUCAUAUGUAAGGUUCCAAGGACAAAAUUCUUUCCUCAGCCCAACGUAAGAAUUUGUAAUCCCAUUUGGGAAAAUAUAUGCCUUCUAACACUGUCAAUAUUACUUGUUUGAAUGAGUUGAAAAAAUAGCAGUACAGUUUUUUUGGAAGUUAAACCAAAAUAGUAACUAGCCACAAAUUCAGAUUGACCUGAUAUUGUGUGUGUUGCAGGUUGAUGCUGCUGUGGUUAAAUUUAAGCUGAAGCAACCUGCACACCACCCCUCAGUUUCCUCAACUAAAAGCUUCUUCUCAAUGGUUGUUCCAAUUUCCAUAAUCAAUAUCAAUCAUUUUAGAUUACCAUUAGUAUUACAGAUUUUCAUUGCAAAAAAAUAUAUUGUCCCUGUAAAUGGACGCAAGCAGCAGAUGCUGCAUUUUCAACCUGAUUAAUAUCUGACACACAGUAGUGGGGAUAUUAGGGUUGAAUACUCAUUGCAUAGGGUGCGGUGUCUUUACAUUAAAAAAUUGGGUCAAUCUUCUUGUUAUUCUCACUCAAUUCUUCCGUUAGUACAUCUCUCCAGAAAUACAUAAGUUAUGAUUUGAGAACUCUCCCAAGUGUAGAUGAUUUCAUUGCCAGCAAGAUCAAUUAGGACUCUGCCUUUCCUUUGGGCCGUUAUUAUAAGAUGCCUUGUUUGUAUUUUGAUACAGGUAAAUUCUGCUUUUAAUGGGAAACGUAAGAUGUUGAGGAGAUCACUUCAGCACAUAUGCACGCCCAUGGAGAUUGAAAAUGCUUUGGGAAAUGUUGGUCGUCCUGCCACGGUAUUGAUAGCUAUUUCUCUGCUUACCAAUUAUGUUGGAAAAGGGUUACAUAAGCUCCUGCCUCUGGAAAUUCAGUCUACUAACUUUUUCGUUCUUAUUGUUCUUUUGCAGUCAAGACCAGAAGAGCUAUCCAUGGAUGAUUUUGUGAAGUUGCAUAAUUUGAUUGUGAAAGUAUGACAUUUGUGGUUUCUCUAGAAGGCCGAUACUUUUCACACACAUGCAAGCCGGUUCUACCGCACUAGUUGCAGCAAAUCUCAUUCAAACAGCAACUGCAAAAAUUUGUAGAGAAAGCUGGACAAAAUUCCAUAGAAGUGUUUCUGGCAAGAGCAAAUUGGAAAGGAAAUGGAUCAUUGGCGGACUUGUUCUUCAAAAAAUGGUUUUUAGGGCCCUUAGCAGUAUGAUACAAGCAGAAGCAGCAGCAUUUUUUGCCUAUAAAACAAUGAUUUGUGCAUACAUUUGCAUCCCAUUAAUAUUACCAAAUUGUAAUCCAGUAACCAAAGUAAAGAACAAAGAAAAUAAAAGAAAAUUGAGUUGCUAGUUAUUAUGUGUCGAAUAAUUUCUUUGUUUCCUGGUGCUUGAAUUUGAGGCUGAAGGCUAAGAAAUUAUUUAUACUUUUCUAAGGCCUCGGAGGUCCUCGACAUACCAAUAACACAAACAAGGGUGCAAGUUUAACUAAUUUUUGACAACAAUGCAAAUUUUGGCAGGUGAACAAACUUUUGGCAUUAGUGAACUUUGAAGGUUGAAUUAAACUUUUGGCAUUAGGUGAAGAAAUUCUAUUCAGAACUACUAUAAGUCCAAGGUCCAAUAUUGAAAUAAUUUCAAAUGUUUUCCUUGACCUUGUCCGUGUCAACAAACAAUUCAAAAUGUCUCGUUAUCAGCAAAUAUGAAACUCUCUGUUUACGUGCUCCUCUUUCCAUUUUAUUAAGAAGAUCAUGAUUUACAGAUAGUUGCUUAGCCAUACCAUUCUUACAACAUAUAAUUGCACGAGAAUUGCCCGACACCAGCAUCCACUCGUCAUGGGGGUUCUUAAAGAGAUACGACUGCAAGUAUGCAGGAGUUUGAUAGUUCAUUGCGCCAUCAAAUAUGCCAAAUAGUCCUACAUCAUGGUCACCACCACCAAUCUGUCUAAGCUCUGCAACAACAUAGCUUUGUGUAGGAAUAUUGUUGUUUGUUCCAUUUGGCAAGCGGAAGCCAUAACAUUUACAUUGUAUGAGCCAUUUGAAACCUUGUUUUUUUCUUCUCCAUAAUCAGGAACAUCUAUUCUUGAUGAUGCACAUUUUCGUUGGUACGAGUAUGUGAUGAUGAAUCUUUACUUAAUUCAACUUCAUGUUUUGGAUUGGGACCACCUAACCCAACUUUUUCCUUCAUCUCGUGGAGAAUUUUAUCAACUUUCUUGAAUGUUGUAGGGAAAAUACUGUCUUCACUAGAAUCAGAAGCAAGUGAAGAGAAAAUCUGGGGAGCAUGUAGAGAGAGAAAUGAAGACGGUCAUGAUCAUCAUCUUCCACAGAUACUAAUAGAGUAAGCACAAUGAUAGUCAUAGACAUUAUCCAUGCAAGUCUACCAAUAGCAAUUAUUUCCAUAGCUCAAAUCUUAGUUCAAUCUAAAAGGAAAAUCUGUUUUAUAUUAAAAAACAAAAGAAAAAUCUUUUUGUUCAAUUAAUUCUUUCUCAACUAAUUAGGAGGAACUUUAAGUUUUCGGUGCCAAUAGCAGUACUGAUUGGAUAAACCAUUAAAUUAAAUUGAGAUCAUUUUCUAUAUAAAUUGGAACUAAUCUUAGCAGCUUUUAGCUAAGGCCAGCGGCUGUAUAUGUAUAUUUUGUUGGAUGUAAAGAGCUAUUUUCAACAAUGACAUUAUGGUAAUAAAUUCUGCAAGUGUACUUCACACUCAAGUGACUUUUUACAAGUUUAAGAAAGAACAAGAAAAUGUCAAGUAACUUCUGGUUUUUCAUUUUGGCUAUGGUAUGUUUCAUUCAGAUCAAGUAUCCUAUGGAUAGGCCAGCCAAGGCCAUACGAUCUAUAUAUAAACGUAAAGUAAUCAUUAAACAAUCCAAAAUCUUGAGGUUUUCCCCCUUCAAAUGUUAAAAGGUCAAAAUUCAUACAAUUAUACCUCAGCAAUGCGACGGUCAGCAAGAAAAUACAGAGAAAAUCAUAAGAAAAUGCAAAUCACUACCAUAAGGAAAACCAAAGAGAAUCAUCAUGAGCCAUUUUUCAAAUUGGUUUUACUUUGCAACGUCCUAUACAACUAUGAACGAGGCACGGCCGGCCUUGACUUUUAAGUGGCCUUGGGUCAGAAAUUAAAAUGAGGCACCUUUCCCUUUUUCUUGUUAAAUCACAAUUUAACAAGAAAAAAACUAUGCACAUGUACUUUCCUUUUGGCUUAAAUAUGUUAGUUGCGUUAAACUAAACAAACAAUAGUACAUGAAUCAUAAAGAUAAGCCACGGCGUAGAUUAUAUCCGACUUCAUUUCAGCUGCUCGGGCCAAGGAUGAGACUUCUCAAUUAACAACUAGAUUUUCUGUUAUGAAGAUAAGAAAGUGUAGCAGAAAAAAAACUAAGGAUGUUGAAGUUAUAAUAUGUAGAACAUUUAUCUCGUAUAACUUUUGAAGCUUCUGUUAUGAUGAACUAUUAGUCAUGCAACAAUGAAUUCCAAAUUUAUAUUUUCAUAUGACUAAAUUACUUUAAUGAUCAUGUAAGAACAAACAAUAGUAACACAUGAAAAUGCAUAUUCAGAAAUAAUCUGAUUACUGUAGCCGACUCAAGCAAGAACUAUAUAACACUAAGCGACAAAAGUUUUAUUCACCUUCCUCAAAUCGCUAUGACUAGAAACCCCUUCAACCUGUAGUUCAUCAACAGGUGCACCUGUUCCAUGUGCUAUACUUUCAAGUCUAAAGGCUUGAAUUUCAUACCUUGACUGAAAGAGACCUAUAUAUAGCAGAAGAGAAAACACAAUCAGUCUUUUAACCAAACACUUUUCCUACAUGAUGUAAUAUUGGCCACUAACUUCCUUUCUUCAUUGAAAUAAAAGACAAAAUUAAAAGAAGCAAACUUAUAAAUGGUAACCUGGCUUUGCAAAAACUUUACAGUGACCUUAUUACUACUUCCCUAUUUAUCUUGCUUGACACUGCAGCAUUGAAAACAGAUACUAUUUUCAUUUGCUUUAGCAGCGAUCACUUGGAGACCAAACUACAAGCAUGAAUUCAAGAGAUAAAUGAUCAAGGAACACUAGUUUUUGUGAUGUUAUUGUAAAAGAGUACUGUAUCUAGUCAUAUUAGUUAAUGGAAGAAGGUUACGCAUAUAGUAAGGCUGUGAUCAUUACCUUGCUUGAUAAUGAUAUCAAUCACCAGGGAAAGGGGUGCAUCCUUCUCAAUUGACAUAACAGAACAAAUUCUAUCAAAACUUUAACCACAUACUGGUUAACCACAAAUGAUUGAAAUUGAGCUCAUAUUUCUUGUGCUGCAGGUUGAUGCUGCUGUUGUUUAACUAAGCUGAAGCAACCUGGGCACUACCCCCAGUUUCCUCCACUAAAAGCUUAUUCUCAACCAGUAUUUAAAUUUCGAUAUUCAGGAACAAGAUCAUGCUUCUUGGAAUAUAUUACAGAAUUUCAUGCAUGAACAAAAAAAGAAGUUCCUGUUAUGAAGCAAGCAACACAACUACUGCUGUCUCAACUGCAUUAACAUCUAAAACACAGCAGUGGGGGUUUUAGCAGUCAUUCUCCAACAAUACAUCAGUUAUGAUUUCAUUCGUAGCGAGAUCAACAAGGAAACUCCCUUUUUACCGUCAGUCAUAAUAGCAUGCCAGGGUUGUAUAUUGACACAAUACAUUAUGCUUUUAACGGGAAACGUAAGAUGUUCUGCUAACUUUCUUGCAACGUUUUUGCAGUCAAGGCUAGAAGAGCUAUCCAGGGAUGAUUUUUUCGAUUGCAUAAUUUGAUGUUAAAGUAUAACAACACAUAGAGCAAGCCUGUUCUACCACAUGAGUUGUAGCAUAUUUCAUUCAAACACGAACUCGAUAAUAUAUAGAGCAUGCUGGAAAAAUUUCAUUAUAUAGUUCUAGGAAAAGAACUUAUCAUUGGUGGACUAGUUCCUAACAGGAUCAUUUGAACCAUAAACCACGUUUUUUAGCUCAGACAAUGAUUAUGACUUGUGCAUUGCAUAAUGCUGCAAGCAAAGUCAUCCAAACUUAUCACUUGUGCCUUUGUGUUAGUUAUAAGAACCCAAUAAGAGAGUUACCCGAAUUAAAUUUUAUGCACAGAUACUGAAAAUUAGAACAAUUUUUCUCACUGAACAUGAUACUAACAUUUUUCUAUAAAUCAACAAAAAUCCAUAAUAAUCAAAUCCACAACGUAUGCAUCUCUGAAAUACUAUUCUUUUCCAUGUCACACACCAUAACAUAAAUAAAACUCUAAACUGAACCUUAAGGAAACAAACAAUAUCAACAAAAACUCACUGUGUCCAUUUCUUGCAAACCCAUCCAUCAUCACAGUGCAAAUGCAAAACAGAACUCCUCUGUUUUCCCCUGCUUUCCCCUGUUUCACCCAACUCACCCAUGAAACUGGUACACAAGCUCCAAAGCCCUCAGUUUAGAUUCAUGAGGGUCAAAACCCUUCACACUCCCAACAAACCCAUCACCAUUCAGCCGCCUAUCCUCCACCACGGCAGCAGCAGAAGGCGAAAGCCGCCUUUUCGGCCGCUUGUUCUUAAUGAAGCAAUCCCUCAUCUGCUCCUCAACCAUGUCAAUUGUUGCGUCCCUGGAAUUCCCCUCUCCAACGCCAUCAUCAAAAUCAUCAUCUUCCCCGUCCCCGACUUGCAUCGGCUCGUUGCCGGUGGCGGAGGAGAGAGAGUUCUGCGGUUGGAGUUGGGGGAAUUGGGGUGUGGAGAGAAAAUUUGAGAGGUGGUGGUGGGCUUGGUGGAGAGAAGAGUAGAUAUGGAGAAGGUAUGUGGGGUCAGAGAUGGUGGGGAGCUGUUUGGCCAUGUGGGUUGCUUGUUCUAGGGAGAGAAUAAGGUCUGCUAAUGGUGGUGGUGGUGGUUGAGGCUCUGGUUCUGCCUCUACCAUGGAUUCCAUUGAAGAAGUCUCAAUCUUUUGAAUGAGUUAAUAUCAGUACAAAUCAAUCUGUUGGCUUUUUUUUAUAUUUUUAAAUAAUUUAAAUUUUAAUGACAACAAUCUGUUGGCUUUAACUGGAAUUGAUGACUGCUGUUUGUUUCUGCUUCUCUCAAAAGUUGGUUGCUUUUCUGGAGCGCGUGUGGCUUCUUGGCUUAUUUGCUUAUUGGGCUUCAGUCUUCAGAGGGGGAAGAUUCUUAUUAGAAUCAGACUCCGUUUGAGUCUGUAGUUCUUCCAUGACUGGUUGGUUGUGCAUGUGAUCUUUUGUUACUUUUCACUUCGUAGUCACUGUUGUCCAGAGUGGUUUUUUUUUUUCCAAUAUUUUAUGUUAGUUUGAGACAAAUUCUUAAACAAUUUUGCUCCUAAUUGCAACCAAACGUUUCUUCCUAAAAAUUUGUUCACCUUUUUUUUUUUUUUUUCCGACACCAAAAUUUGAACUUUAUAUAUUAGUACAAUAUAGCACUUUCUUUUUAGGCCAACCUUCAGCUUUGAUUAGAGCCCAACUAUGCUACUGUACCUGCAAUUAUGUCCUAAGAGCCCAUGAAGGUAUAAUUGCAAUUCAAUCUUCCUCCAUUCUUCCAUUUCAAGUUCACAAAAAAUACCAGUAUAAGUUUUGGCAAGUUAGGGCGAGUGUGCUCCACACUCUGCACUCGAAUUCGAAUCCCCUUCUCAUACUUUAGAUUAUAUUAAAGUAGAAUAUUGCUUGUAUAAUAAAUAAAAAAUAAAAAAAACCCAGCAUAAACUUAUGUUUUACCCACAUGACUAGUAUAAAGUAUACAUAAAAUGUUAAUUCUUUUUAAUAGGCUUCAAGUUCAAAUACCAAGUGUUGCUAGAGGAAAGGGGAGUGGACCUAAAUCUGCACAACUCAAAUAACAUAAUUGUUUGAGGAGGAUGUUAAAAGAAGAUAAACAAAUUGGUGGUGAUCAUAAAAGUGGAAACAGUAAUGCCAAAGACAUAUACGGAUGAGCUUUUCUACAAUGAUGACUAAAAGUAAUUCUUUCCAUAAUGUCUAAGCUUUUAACAUCCGAAGAUAGUCAUCUAUUAUAGACAUUGCAGAUGAACGAUAACCCGAACCGAAGAGGUUAUAGUGAUUCAAGUAAUGAUACAACAUAUAAAGAUCUUUCCUCUUCUCAAACCCUGGUUGUUUGGGCAUCACCUGAGGAUACAAUAAACCAUUAAUGAAGACAUGAAGAAUUAAAACGGCUUGAAAGGCAUUAAACUUUACUUUUAAAUGUGAGUUGAUAAUAGGAAGCAACUUCAGUUGGUUUGGUUGGAUUUAUCUUUUCUUUUGACAGUUAUGUGCUACUGCCACUCACUCAAACACCUUUGCAUGAACAUUGGAAGCCCAGGUAGGUAGACGAAAAAACAGAGCAGAGAUUAUUUUGAGAAAGAGGAGAUAAAGAAAGGACCUACCUCGAAAUAGGAACUGUAGAAAGAUCCUCCAAAACCAGCACACCAUGACAUUCCAAAUUCUGCCUCACUAUGUCCAUCUAUAAAAAAUUGCAAAUGAUAACAACAAUGCACUUAGUGUUUUAAACAGCAGUUGCCACACUAUAUUUCACAAUACAAGCUAUAUGAAACAUGUUGCAUUAAUCAUUUUAUAAUCAGAGACAAUCAAAAUGUGCGUGUCUGUGUGUUUUGGAGUGAUUUGGGAGCCUCAGACUUUCAACUGGUCCUCUCCCAGAAGAUACCCGAGAUCAAGGGUGGAAAUAAUGUAUGUACCAGUACCAUAUUUUCUUGUAUACUACAAACAUAGGUUAGGCUUCAACAAUUAGCAACACAGUUUGAUUUCAUGUGAUCUAUCCGACAGCAAACUGAUAUCUGAACUAACUUUAACUUACAGUAACAUGCUGGGUCAAGUAUAACAGGCUCGCCAUUCUUGUCAGAGCUGAUAUUUCCGCUCCAUAAGUCCCCAUGUAACAAGCAUGGCUCAAUCACUACAUUAUCAAAGAAAGGUCCCAUACUCUUCACCAAUCUUUGUCCUGUUAAACAUGAUAAUCCAACAGCAAACAUAACUUUUAUUUAUAAUGAUUUGAGAGGCUACAAAUGAAUCUUCAGAGUAUUUUCGUAUGAUAAUAUUGAAAGAAAAGGCAUCUCAAAUUUUGAAAGUUUUAUUGAACUAAAGGUCGAGUGAAAAAAGAGAAACAAGUUUCCAACUUACAUGCAAAAACAUGUCAGUGCUUACUCAUACUUUUCUUCGGAGAUACUUUUUCUUUUUAAAAAAAACAAGAUGCCAGAACCUAAAAUUAUACUUUGAGUUCACAAACUAAAGUUGAAUAAUCACAUCUGCUGUGAUUGAAGAAGCACUUCUCCAAAUAAAACUCUUAUUUUUCUCAUUUUCCAUAGAAAUUAUUUGAAAGUUGAGACCUGGACUCCCCAUUGAAACUUGUGGGCAGUUGGAUUACUAAGAAGUAGGUACUUUGAUAUGGUGCUAGCUCAUGAUUUCUUUUCAGUCAACUUAUCGAAUUAUAUCAUCUUCCUAAAAGGUAAGCUGAACUAGGCAUGAUUUGGGAUUGACCAUCGACGUCAAGAAAAUAGACAAUAUUUACCUUUUUCAUAAAUGGUACUAUCACCAUACUGGUCCAGUGCCAGCUGCAACUGAUAACCCAGUCUAUGCUCCCCAUAAAACUGAAUCCAAUCUGAUGACCAAGUGUUUAUCUGCGGAGUACUGCAAGGGAAAGUGUGUCAGUUCCAUAUACCUUGAGUAAUUUUCCUUGAAUUUCGAUAGUUGUGUGUGUGCGGACAUGCACAUGAUCCAGAAAGACUACCUGCCUACAGUGUUGUUAACUUCAAAACCAAAACCUUUUUCAGAUUUUCCAGCUUUAUGCAUUUCAGCAAGCUUCCUGCCUAGCACAGACUGAGUACCAAUAUACCAUUAAAAUUCGAUUACAAGUUGUUUUCACCUAUAUAAAUACAUGAAAAUUUUCCCCAUCCUCACCUGAUUACUUCUACGUGAACCAAAUUCAAUAAAUUCCAUAAUGAUGUAAGAACCACCAGUAGGUAGGGGCCCAAACUACAACACAUAAGAAGAGGUUAUCUAAGCUUUAAGCAUUGUCAUGGACUUCAUGUUCACAUUCCACUAUGGCUUGAUAAUUUAACAAAUUUUAAAACUUCCACACCUUGAAUGGCUUAGGGACACGAAUUGUUCCAGUUUCAAACAUGGCACCUAAACCAAGAGCCUCUCCCUCAAACAUCGAUGGCCCAAUGCUCCUGAUUCAAUGCUUUAACUAAACAUAUUUAUGUCUUCGAAAUGGAAAUAAGGAUUCAAACAGCAUAUGAAACUGAAAUUUCCAAAACAAAUUAGAAGCAACUUUUGUGAUCAUUUUGAUAGCAAAAACCUGUUUGUUUUGACAAAGAAAGAACCCGCAUCAGUGUCAUAAUGACUUGCACGAUUGAUGCAACCUCCUCCUACUGGACUAAUUCUUGUUAUCUGUGUUGCAUUUCCUUCUGAGAGAAUCCAUUCACGAACCGGAUCCUCACUCACCACCGCCACUGCCAAAGAACUAUGACUGGUGAAUUUAAUCAAACACAACUCAGCUUGACAGAGGAUCAGCUAAUACAUAGAGGCAUGACAACACAGCUAAAAAGCUGUCAUUUCAGUGAAAAUCAGCUUCAUCAAAGUUGCAAUCAACAAUAGCCCCAAAUUCAAAUGACUACUUAUUGAAUUGAAAACAAAACAAUUAUUCAAGACAACCCACAUAUAACAGAGAGACUUCAUCAAAUCUACCAUAAAAAAAAACCCGGGAACUCAUUACAAAAUGGAUAAUUUUUCUUAAACCCCACGAAAUGACUGACAUUUAGCUCAACUACAUAAGAAUACACCAAUUCAAUAGGCACAAAAAGGCUCAUACUGCAUCAACUAAGUCAUGGUUGUUCUUGAAAAAACUCAAACAACGACCCCAUUAGAGCUCGAAUUAGCUAAAAUGAAACAUGGGAUUUUGUUUAUACUCACUGGCAAAAGUUCUGUGCUUGGUGGAGGACAGUCGAGGAAGGCGAGGCAGAGAAGGUAAGCAAGAGGAAGAGAGCGGUAAGAGCCCAACGUGUACCAACAUUAUCACCCUCUAUGUAAAAUUCUACACGCUUCUUUUACUAAUGGUUCGGUUGGAUUUGUCCAUGUGGUCUCUAGCUUCUUUUGGUUUCUGGAGUUUUUCGUGUCCGUCGUGAGAGCAGGGGAAGACAACGAUGUGGUCGCUAUGGUCACUUGAGGUUUCAUGGAAUUUGGUACAGCUUUCAUGUAUGUGCUCCACGUGUAUGCUUUAUUUUGCUUAUUUUAUUUUAUUUUUUUGAGAGACAUUUUGCUAAUUUUAUUAAGGAAACUCAUUUGAGAUUCAUCAUUCAUUAAAAAGGACGGCAACUCAAACUUGGGAUAACUCUAACCUAACCGUAGGGGGAGAAGUCUUACUAGACCUGUUCCAAAGUCAUGUAAUUUGGUGGAGCAUUUGCACAUUCCAUUUCGUGUCCAUGCCAUUUUUAAUAGGUCAUGUAUUGGCCUAACAUGGCUACUUGUAGUUGUACCAUACCACAUUUAUUGGGAUCGGACUAACUUUUACACUCAAAUCCUGUGGUUAAAUUUAUAAGAGAUUUAUAGCUUAAAUGGUUUAGAGCAGUUAUCUAUGCACACUUGAGAUUAUGUGUUAAAACUCGCUCCACUAAUAUCGCUUGUAUAAAAAUAAUUUUUUUGCUGUACUCGUACCAACCCAACCCAUUUUACAAUUCUAUGAUACCAGAUGAGACAUUUCAUUUAAGUUUACAAACCAUCUGUAGUUGUAACCUCUAAAAUAAUUGGGGUUUGGUCCUCACAAGAUCAUGCAACAUCACUAGUUACUUGAAACCAAUUUUCCCUGUGGCCCAGUUAAUUAUCAGACUUGAAACAACGGCAAAAAUUGAAUUCAGGAAGUUGGUAUGUUCAAUUAUGGAAUUCGUAGAAAAGAUGUACUCUCAUAGUGAGUAGAAUGAAUGGCUCAAAACAGAGUAUGAACAUUCAACUUCUGUGGACAAACUUUAUAUAUACAGAAAUCAAAUUAUAUUUGUAAGCUCCAUUUUCCAACUUGCUACGCAAAAAUUCAGAGUUUUGUCGCAGUGAUUUAGCACAACCUCCGCCGCUCGUACCAUCUACAACGGAUAAUAACAUUCUGUGCAAGGUAUGAGAAUCUCCAAUCAAACCUACCCGCCCUACCAUGUGGUUUUUACUGGUUCUCUGGAUCAAACUCUUUCAUUCUAUCGUGGCGUUGUUUCUGGUUCUCUAGAUGGAGUCGGUUCGGAGGGGUUUCCAGGAGCAGAUUCUGAAUGCCCUUGGUUGCUAACAUUACCUGCUGAACGCUCAGAGCCAGGUAAUAGCCACAGUUGUGAAUGUUCAGUUGAAACCUCAGAAUCAUCAAACGAUCGAGGCAUGCUAAACGUUGCUGAUCUCACAUGUUUUAUUCCAAGGGAUUCUUUUAAUGGCAAACGGCAAACUGGACAGGUAGACUGUUUCCUCAGCCAUGUAUCAAUGCAAGAGAGAUGAAAACUGUGGCCACAUUUGGGCAUGAUUCGCAAUACUUCUUUCUCUUGGUACUCCCCCAAGCAUAUUGAGCACCUGCAGGACCAUAAAGAUUAAACUUCAAUCUAGCAAGCGUCCAAAAGGAAUGAAAUGACUACCAAAACUCAAGGACAUUCCAUAAAAAGAGCGGCAAACUAACGUCCUGUAAGCUAUAAUAAAUGUUAGAUCUUUUCAAUCAACUAAUUCAGAUUUUAAGGUUAGGUGGGAAACAAAGGAGAUUCCUUAGGCACUAGAAGAAAAUAAAUUGCAAAGCUUACUGCGCAUCUUCCAAGGAGCUGAAAGCUUUAUGAUCAAACUUCAUGGUAGGGAUUGCAGAAACCACAACUUGUUCAAGGCCACUGGCCUGAUGCUCUGGCUGCCAGCAAACAAUGAAACCUUAGAAUCCAUUGCUCAAACCUUAAGUUACAAUGACAACACGAAAAACUCUCAAGUUUUGGUGGAAUGACAUCAGUAGCAGUGACCACAAAAGCAAAAGGGCAUGAAGGAAACCAAUUCAGUCUCUUGGGUUAUCAAAACUAAAAACCAUGAAGACGUAGGAGUUCUUUGUAUGAUUCAAAUAGAACAAUCAAAUAUCAAAGCUAUUGUUCAAGGCCACGCCAUUUUUUAUUUAUCCUUUCUUUUCAGUAAUUUGUAUUGUCAACACACUAGGGAAAACUAGUACAUUGCAACAUAUAGCAGAGUUGAUUCUCUCAACUACAGCAGAGUUCAUAUCAAAACAAGAACAUAACAAGCCAUCAAAACAAAUGAAAAUCAUGAAACACAAACCAGCCUACCCAAAUAAGCUACUGAGAAGCUAACUCACAUAUUGAUCCCAGUUACAAAACAAUCAUUCAAGCAUAUUCAACUGAAAACAAAAAUACAUACAGACAUAAGAGGUAUUCAUAAUUCAGAAAACUACCUCAAAUCAGAUUUCCUAGCUGAGAAAACAAAUAUAGGACAGGCAAUUCAGACAUACCUGCUCAACAUCAAUCCUUGAUUCAAUCUCGAACAUAGGCCGUGAUUCGCCACCUCUUAGCCUGCCACAAAUGAUUCUUGUGCAAACGAAUACUAUAAAUGUUGCACUCAUACCAAAACCAAUAACAGUAGUGACCAAGUUCAUACCCGAACCCAUAUCUGCAAAUUCCUACUUCUCUCACCCAAAAGUCCCAAAACCAAAACAAAGACUCACAAGCCCCAAUAACUAAACGAAGCUGGAAAAAAACCCACUAAAACAAUGAAAACCCAUAACUAAAAACAACGAAAGAAUGGUGAAAACAAAUAAAAAAUGAAGAGUGACAAAGACCCAGAUCAGAAUCACCGAAGAAAUGGCUAGUUUUGAAAGCAAAAUUCAGGAAGACCAGUCACAAACAAAGCUAGCCAUUUGGAAUCUCAAUCGCUUUGGAUAGACUCAAAGCUUAAAACAAAGUCAUGGAGGCUUUCAAUAGAUGUUGAAGAUGAGAAAAGGGAGUUGUGGAAGGAAAGGAGGCAGUUCAUUGUCUUGCGCUUUGGACUCGCAUUAAUAUGGGGUCCAUUUCAAUGGGACCCAACAACAAAAUAUUAACAGGGGUUAUAUAUCUGACGGUUAAAACAAAAAAGAGGGGAUUUUAUAAAGAUUCCCAUGUUUGUUUAAGGUAGAGAGAAGAAGAGAAUCUGUGUGUGUCCUUGCUCCUCUGCUCCUCUUACCUUUGCAUCUUCUGUGCUUUCUCAACCAUACUACUUCUGGAUAAGGCCUUCGAAUUGGGUCCAAAAAGUAUCUUCACAUGUAUGUUCCUGCAAUUUUGCAAAUAUUGAAGGGCCAAUAAUUUAUUUCAAUGUGUGGAACGCUUUUCUUUGCAGCCAUUGGUCAUGAGCUGGCAAGAAUAAGAUGGAUUCUUAUAGUUUAUUACAUUAAUAUUUUUCUUUCCAAUCAUUGUCUUUGUUGUAGUUCAACGGCUGGGAAGAAGUGUUGGUUGCUUGCUACUUGCUUAAUUCUAAGAGGCCAAAGUAGAUAAAACUAAUGCAGGAAAACUUGGAGCUCUGUCAAAGGUACUUGUUCUAUGGACUUGGAUUCUCAUAUGAGCAUCCAACUUUGUGUUUCUUCUUUUGGCCUUUUUAUCUUAACAUAUGUGCUUUAUUGUUUGUUUGUUUUGAUUUCUGAAAGACCAACACUUGUCACCUUAACCGCAUUAAAAAAAGACACUUGUCACCUUAAAGAAACAUCAUUUUUUUUCCUUUAUGUCUUCAUCUUGGGUUUGAUUGGAAGGGAGCCGAUGUGGGAAUGAAUCUUUUGAGAAAAAGCUAUCUUCUUCAUAGUGUAAUCAAUCUUUGGGAUGGAACACAUGAUUCCAUCCUAUUAUAUAGUAUAUGUGUACUUUUUGGCACAUAAAAAAAAGGGAAAAACAAAUAGGGUGGUAUGCUCCAUGAGGAGAAAAGUCUUUGGGUGCCGAUGCUCGGAAACACACUCACAUGGAGGUGGGAUCGAAUGAGACUCUUAUACAUGGAUCUAUAUAAUGAGUAAGUAAAUUAAUAACGUCAUAUGAUGUGUUGCAUUUACCCACAAAUUAUUUUAUGCUCCAAUGACAAUAUAUUAUUUGCAUUCUAACACAGGAUUGUGACAUUGUUGCACUAACAAUGUUAUUUGCACUCUAAGAAAAGUGCGGUUCCUAAAAAAAUAUAAAACAAAGACUUUGUUUUAGAGGGGGAAAAAAAAGAAACAAAGACUAAAUAUUUAAUUGUUGAAUCCCACCAAAACCAGUUGACACGUAAUGGUUUGGCUAUGGCACGUUAUGAGAUCGUAAUAAGCUGUAAACAUAGACUGAAGUUGGCUAGCCAACUUAAGUCAAGUUCGCUAUAGCGAGUGAAGUUGGCUGAAGUUGGCUAGAACGAAUGUACUCCCUACUUUGUACUCAAGUUCAAAUCCCACACCUCUAGUUUAGUUUAAAUUCGAUUAAAAUAUAAUAUCAUUUCUAUAUAAAAAAAAAUUUGCACCACUCAUGCCUACCGAAAUUGACUUCAUCUCACUUUGGCAAUUUCUAUUUCCUCUCAAUUUUUCUCACCUCAUGCUCUCAGUAGUUUUUCCAGUCUCUCAAGUCUUAACCUUUGUUUCAGGUCCACUGUUGAAGGGCAUUUGCGGUAACUUUCCAUAUGUAUGGUUAAUGCGUUUUCAUAGAAGAAACUAUGAAAGUUUUCAUCCUAAAUUCCUAAACAAGUUGAAGUGACAGAAAAAAGACAUGUAGGAUUAAGUUUUCCUCAAAUUGAACAAAGGGCAAUGCUCUCUAUGUCAAUAAUUUCUUUGCUUAGCUAUUUUCCUCAGACUUGCCAAAGGAUGACUUAGAAGGCACACAAAAAGAAAAAUAAUUGGGAAAACUUGUAUGCAGCUUCUUUGCACAUGCAUCUGCUUAAGCCAGGCCAAUGAAAUGAAAAAGGUUCAUGCCUUCAGCUGCUACAGUUAUUAUUCUUCUAUGUGGGUUUCCAAUAUAUUUGGAAUUAUACCAAUUCUAUUCUUAUAGGUCACUCAAGCAAUCAUUCUUUGUUGUUAGUGAUUUCUGCACUAAAGAAAUGGCCAUUUCCAAAGAGAAACAGCCAAACUAAAGUGCACCAACCAAUCUGUGCACCUUCUUCCAUACAAAAUUCAAGGCUCCCUGUGAGUCACCAUAAACAGAAGAAGAAGAAAAGUGCACAGAACACAAAUGCUCUCAAAUUCAUGUCACAAUUGCAAAAAUUCAAAGGCAACUACAUGAGGCACUAAAUGAAUAGAAGAGAAAGCUUUUCAAAAUCUAAAUUUAAAUUACCUGUCAUUACAGUAAAACUUUCAAUAGAAAAGUUCCCAAAAUGAAAAGAAAACCAACGAAGUAACAACACUGUCAUCAGAAAGCAGACAACAACAUAAGCAAUGAAAAGAACCAAUCUUUCAAUAGAGAAAAGAAAAAAAAAAUAUAGUCAAACAGUAAACCCAGUGCACAUACAGACACACACACCAAACAGUAAAAUUUCACAUAAAAAAUUCAAAUCCUUCUGAAGUUACAUUUUUGAAGGUGGCCUUCCCAUUAGCAGCAUUAAAAGUAUGUAGUGUGCAAGUGGGAUGAGGAUAAACUUAUUGUCAAGAAAAUCAAACAUGGUCCCAUGGAUAGACAACAGGGCUAAAACACAUGCGUAGGUACAAAAUCAAUCAGAAACAUACCACUUUUGAAGUCAACUAAGAAUAAAUCUCAUCUUACAUCACUAUUUUGCGUGGCCUUAUCAAUGUCAAAACAGCCAGCCAAAUCCUAUUGGAUAUUUCAUAUUUUUCCACACCACACCAACUACACAAGUGACCAUUUUACUACUUAAGAGUCAGCAUAUGUACUUUGUGUCACUCUUGGGAUCAAGACACACAACAAACUGCAACUAAUUCAUUCCCAUCGAUCUCUGUUUCUCAGCUAAAUAAAAACUCAUCCAACUUUUCCAACCGCACUGAUUUGUCACCAUCCAUUCAUAUACAUGUACUUUAAGUUUCUUCUCUGCUCCAAGCAAAAUCACAUAUAUUUUGACAAAGAAAGGCAGUUCUAAAUCCAAAUAUAUAUAUAUAUAUAUAUAUAUAUAUACACACACACAUUAAAGUAAAAGGUAUCCACAACAAACUUAAAGGAAAAAAAGUUACCAUUAAGAAAUAUUUUAGUACAAAAAAAAAAGGGCAUCCCCCGAGGUCAAACAAGCCAGCAUCCACUUUGACACCAGAAAACACCAUUUCCUCUGUCCACCAUAUCAGGCAGAACAAAAACAAAUGCAUAACAUCCAACACAGUUGCACAAAAUCAACAACAAACCCAUUUUCCCAAUCUGGCAAACAAACAUGCCCAUAGCAUCAAUUCCUUCCUUCCAUCAUCCAUACCAAUCAAAAAAUAAAACCAACAACCCACCAUUUAAUUCAGAUUUUCAAAGCACCCAACUUUGCCAAAACCCAAACAAACCUUAACCCUCCACAGCACUUCCAACAGGAACAUGAAUGUCCUUAUAGAGGCAAACAUAAGGCGCAUCACACCCAAUGUACUUGCCAGUCCACCUCCCCUCCUCAAUAUAACUAGCAUCCCAAACAGAAGCAUACAAAUACAUAGGCUUGUGAGGAAAAGCCUCACCCUUUUUCCUCUCUACCCUCACCAAUUUCCCAUCAACCAACCACUCAAUCAAAUCCUGACCCCAUUUGAUCACAUACAAAUGAAACCCAUCAGAACAAUCAAAACCCAGAUCAUGAAACUCCUCUUUGUUACCUGUGCCGCCAGUGUAAUAGUUAGUCUGCACAAUUGUCCUGUCCUUGCCCAAAAACUCGAAGUCAAUCUCGUCCUGUGACUUGUCACCUUCCAGGGACGAGAGGUAGAUGUUGAAGUUGAGGCCGCUGGUGUUGCCACGUGGGCACUGAAUGAGGGAGCUGAAGGUGCCGUAGAGGAACCUUGUGGUGGUGCGCCACCGUGCACCGCCGCGGUGGUCGUAGGUGAGGGUGAUGGUGUUGGCGUCUGGGCAGUGUGUACAGGCCUCCGGGGUGUAGUCUAUGGCGAUUUGCUUGAGGGGUUGGGUUUGGUGGUGGGUUGGGGUCUCUGGGUGUAGCGCUGGGUCUGCCAUUGAAGAUGCGAAUAUAGAAUGAGAGAGCUUGAGAGUGAUGACUAUGGCGGGAGCGUUAGAUCUAAUAUAUGUAAGUUUUUGUGCCCAUUUUUUUCUGUUAUUUAUUUAUUUAUUUAAAUAUGCAGAAAGAUUUACAAAACAAUUUUUUUAAGGAUAUAUUUAUCAUUAUUUCCAGCCAAAGAGAAAAUAGAAAACCAUUGAAAUUAUGAUUAUGAUUAUGAUCCUACAAUUUCACCAAGAGUUGCAAAAUAACUAGUUUACCAAGUGUUUGACAAAAUAAAACUAUUACCAACUGUUGCGAUUUAAGGAUAAUGUCUGCAUUUUAUUUUUAAUUUUAUUUAUACAAGUGAUAUUGAAAGAAAGAAAAAUUAAACAUAGAACAUCAAGUGCAUAGUUAUAAAUCCCUUGUUUGUCAAAUUUUUCAAUAGAAUUAGAAUGCAAGUAGCAUAUGUAAGGCUAAGAUGGAUUUUCUAGAAGCGCAAAACACCUCCCACAUUGCCUUCACAUGCUAAUUUUGUCGAUUUUUUUGUUGUUGAAAGAAUUAAGUAAUUUCACUUAAAUUGCAAUAAAUAAUAAACUAAAUAAGUUAAAUCACGACAAUUAAAACUACAUAUAAUAAAAUGGAAUAUCGCUAAAAGCUACAUAGACCAAACUUAUAGUUUGACCGUUUUUUUAAUAACUUAGGUUCUGUUUAGUAUCCUACUCAAAAAAGUAAAUUCAAAAACUAUAAUUCUUUUUUAAAAUAUGAGUUUUCAAAUAGUGAUUUUAAGAUUUAAAAACUUGUUUGGUAUUGAACUCCAAACUAUUUUUAAGAUCUAAAAAAAUUGAAAUUAAAAUCAUAAAAUUAUAAACCCUAGAUUCCCAAAUUGAAAUUAACAAAGAGAGAGAGAGAGAGAGAAACUAUAAAACCCCACUCUUUUUUUUAUAUUUAAUAAUGGGGUGGUUUUUGAGUUUUUCUUGAGUUUGAGUUUUUAAAAGUAGGCCUACCAAACAGGUUUAUAAAAUGGGUUUUUGUGGUUUUGAGUUUAUAAAAUUAGAUCCAAUUAGGAUACCAAACAACCCUUAACUUCUUAAAAAGUAAACACCAAAUUUUAUUACAAAGAGAGUCUUACUUCUUUUUUUGAAAGUAAAAAUUCUUACCUUCAUGUUAAUACGAUUUACAUAUGUGUUCAACUGUAAUUUACAAAAAGGAUGAAUAUCUAAUUUCAAAUAGUAACAUCUGGUCAACACCCUUUUGCAAGACAGCAACUACCCAAGGCCAUCCUUUUAAUGGGAAACGAUCAUCCAUUCUAAAUAUCUUGAGAAAUUAAAUGUAAAUUGUGAUUUACAGACAUAAAUAUUACGGAAAUAAUCUAUAGAGACCAACUUGUGUACCAUAUUUCUAAUAUGAGAAAUUUUUAUGUUACGGGAAUAUCACUUUUUGCUAUCCCUAUCCAAUAAAUGACAUAUAGGAUAACUUUUUUAUGUGUCUUUGUUUUACUGGUGGAGAAUAGCAAAAUAGUGUUAUCUUAAUUAUAUGUAAGUUUUUUUGCUCUAAUAGAGGUGGGAUCCAUUAUAUUGAUGGGCUCUACCUCUAUUAGAGAGUUGAUACACAAGUUAGUCUCCUUAGCAAACACAUAUCAAAUGUUGAUAAUGAUAGUGAAGAUACACUUUAAGUUAAAACGGUGCGCAAAAAUGCUCUUCUUACGAAAAGAAUGAAUAUCUCCUUCCAACUAGUAACAUCCAAUGCACACCCUUUUGCAAGACUGCAACAACCCCGGGCCAUCCAUUCAACGGGAAACGACCAUCCAUUCUAAAUAUUUUGAAAAAAAUAAAUACAAAUCGUGAUUUACAGAAAUAAUGAAGAUCUCUUUCCAACUAACUAGUAACAUCCGGUCAACACCUUUCAACCCGCGCAAGAAUGAAAGAUUUAGUGAGAAUUGUAGGGAUUAACCCACUCACGUCAAAAAUCACAAGGAAAAAGGGAAAAAAUAAAACAAAAAACAAAACUCUACCAACUUUAAAUCAUACAAGGGUAAACUGGGAAUUUUGAAAAUUUUGACCUAGGGUGUAGUGUAGUGAGCAAAUAGUGAAUAUUCUAAUAAUUGUUCCGUUUUAUUAUUACUCUUUUCUUUCGGCCUAAUUUGCUAAAAACUAAUAGGGCUUCAUAUCAUACGUCGCCGUUCGACUGACUUUGCCUCUGUUUGCGCGUACUGUCCGAAUUGUGCAGGAGCUCCCCAAAGCGAUUCGAGAGCCGUUCGUCCAAUUAUUCCUAGGGUUUCUCUGAGCUCUCUCUCCCAAAGACUCUAAGGUAUGAAAGCUCGGAUCUUUUUCGUCUAAUAUGUUCCGCAGAUCUAGCUUUUUUCCAUUUUUGAACCCUUAUUAUUAUUGCUUGAUUGUGCCCGUUUGCUUUAGGAUGUCACUAUUAUGAUCCCCACUUUGACUUCUUGUACUAACUUUUUUUGUGUAAUUAAGCUUCAUAAUCAUACUCCUACUUGAUCAAGUCAAAAAUAUAUUCCUUUCUGAAAUUUCCCGUUGUGUUUUUUCGGUGUGGUGCAUUUGCUUGUGUUUUUGUGUUGCUUAAGAGUUGGAGAGCUCACUAAGUGUUUGUAUAAAUGCCACUGACCCACGGUAUUUACCUAAUUGUCCUGUUAUUGCAUCUGGAAGGGCUUGAAAACUUUGAAGCUUGAAGAAAUGAGGCCAAUAUUUUGCGGCAACUUGGAUUUUGAUGCAAGGCAAGGGGAUGUUGAGCGGCUUUUCAGGAGAUAUGGGAAAGUUGAGAGGGUGGAUGUUAAGUCUGGUAAAUAAGUUUUCUGAUUAAAUAACUUAUUUUCUGCUGUGUUUUCAUCAUGGUCUGUUUUAGUUCUCGAUGUUGGCUGUUGGUAGCAUACUUGUAGUACUGGGUUGUUUGGUUUACUUCCAUUUUUCUGUUGUAUUUGUUGGGUACGCAUUUGGCGGCCAAGAUAAAAGCCUUAAAGCUUUUUCAAGCUGUUGUUUUUUGUGGUGAAAUCUGAAGUGGGGCAUGGCUGAAUCUUCCUACUGGGAUAUGGUCGGUAAGAAUUAGUGGAGAUUGAGGUUUGGGCACCAUAUAUUUAUCUCUAUGAGAUGAUACAGAUUCGGGUAGAUAAAUAGAAUACAUAUGGUUUAACAGCAAUGGAGUAAUUUAACAGGGGAAUUCUGUCAUCAUGCAGAUGUGUCAGCUGCUAACAAGGAUUUUCUGCUGCGUCUGAAAAUCUAUUCCGACCUUAUUUGUGAAUAAAAAGAGUUUCUGUAUUGAGACAUAGUGGGGUUCCUGGAUAUGUUUUAGAAAGGAAAAUAUGGUGUACAACCUGAAAAAGGUUCAUUUCAAGAUUUGGCUCAUUGACCCUUUUUGUAUAUAAGCGAAUACGUACAGAAAUAUGAAGUCUGGUUGUAUUCCUCGGCCUUUUUUCUCCUUUUCUUCACAACAUAUUGACAUGUAGAAAUUCCCUUUCUCCUGUAAAUUGAAAAUCUAUGAGAGAUGUCUUUAAGGAGAACUGUAGGGGUGGGAAUGCAGUGGACAGUACAUAUCCUUCAUUUUCAGAAACAUGAGCUCUUUCUCUGGGCUGUUAGAUUGGAGUAAAUUCAACAGGGGGCAUAUUUACUAAGAAAAUUAGCUGUUAUUCAAAAGGGUCAAUAUGUUAUUCCUUAACUUAAUAUUUAGAUGGGUGUACACACUAUUUUCCCUUCAGAGAAGCAGGUUACUUUUUUAUUGCAGUGUAAACCCGCAUACUCAAGAAUUUCUUUGGCGCAGGGUUUACUUGGAAUGUCCAUGCUCUUCUUGGAUGGGUCUGCUUAUCUGCAUUUCUUUUGUAGCAUGUGCCCAGGCUUCACUUAUUGUAUUUUACCAGAAGAAUUAAACUGAUCUGCCCUAGUCCUGCCAUCCUACUUUACCUCAGACACCAUUGCUUUUUCAUUCCUCAUGAAUUUUGCUCCGUGUUCAAUUUCCGACAUGUUCCAACAUAGAUUCCAUGAUGAUAUCGCAGCCACUGGCAGGUUUUGUGUUACUCUCUAGCAGAUGAUUUUGUAUGCACAUAAUUUUAUUAGUGUUUGAGAAGUCAACAUUUCCUCAUAGAUUCUAGGUGAUGUUGUUCUUAUACUAAAAAAAACAUGUAUGCCUAAUAAACUUGCAUAAAAUUGUUUUGGUGACUUUGUUUUACGUGCUUUGGUUACUUACCACUUUGGUUUUAAUAAGAUUUAUUCAAUAUUGGUUAAAUAGGAUUUGCUUUUGUCUAUAUGGAUGAUGAACGAGACGCUGAGUAUGCAAUUCGGAGACUUGACAGGACAGAAUUUGGUAGGAAGGGACGCCGACUUCGUAUUGAGUGGACCAAGGUAAAAUCGAUGAUAUGAUUGGGUUCUAACAAAAUGAUUUAUCACUUUAUGGUCACUUUCAUAGCAUAGUUGCUGAGCAUUUUGGCAUCGCACAGAGCACGAUCCUAAACAUACAAGUAUAAUACUAGAUCCUGACUUUUCUGUCUGGCAUGCAAAUUUUAGCUUAAUCUAUUCCUUUACAUAAUUUUAAUAUUUUGAGUGCGUUGGUCAAAACCAUAUUCCCUAUACCUCCUUGCUAUAUUUUCUGAACUUAUGCAUGCAAAGGGUACAUAUGUUUGUAUCUGCUUCAUGAUGCUCGACUCCUCUCAUUUAUAUAAGUUGGUAUUACACAAGAUCAAAUGGAUAAACAAAGUCACAGGAUUUACUUGAUUAUUUUGUCAGAAUUUGCACUCAUUUAAUCACAUUUUAUUCUGUAUUGAAGCAUGAAAGAGGGAUUAGGAAACCUGUUGAUUCAAGAAGACCUUCAGCGAACACAAAGCCCUCGAAAACCUUGUUUGUUAUCAAUUUUGAUCCAAUCCAUACCAGGACAAGGGAUCUGGAGAGGCACUUUGAUCCAUACGGAAAAAUAGUGAACAUAAGGAUUAGAAGGAAUUUUGCAUUCAUUCAAUAUGAAUCACAGGAAGAUGCUACCAAAGCAUUGGAAGCAACAAAUUCAAGGUUCUAUUUUCCUCGAUAACUUCUAGAAUGAUGUUUGCUUGAUUAACAAAUUCCAAGGUUUUUGCCUUUGGACAACCAUAUCAGCAUAUGAUUGUUUGGAAGUGACUUCAAAGGGAGAAUGGCUCUAACUUCUGUAGGAAAUUCAGUUUUGAUUGAGUGAAAGCCAUGUCAUUUGUAGGCAUUUCAUUGCAGCAGCUUAGUGUAAACAUUAUUUACAAGAAAUUUUUACCAAAAGAAGCUGGUAUAGGUGGUUGCAAAGAAAAUGAAAAAGCUUCUUGGUAUUGUCGUUAAAAAAAGUCUUAUACAUUUGUUCUUGAGAUUUAAGUUUUACCCUUUUGAAUUAACAUUUUAAAAGAAGAGACAACUUCAUUUAGAUAAUAUUCUCAAUGGUUUUAUUUAGCGAAGAUAUUCUGUAUGAAUCCAUCUCAACAAUUUGCAACUUGCUUCAUAUUAACUUUAAUUAAUUUCUUUUUGAGGUACAGCAAGUUCAUGGACAGGGUUAUUUCCGUGGAAUAUGCUGUUCGUGAUGAUGAUGAUAGAAGAAAUGGACACAGUCCUGAUAGAAGGGGCCGUGACAUGUCUCCUGAAAGAAGAAGCAAUGAUCGUGGGCGAUCUCCAAGUCCAUACCGCAGAGAUAGGGCUAGCCCUGAUUAUGGCCAUGGCUCCCGUAUAAGUUCUAGAUCUGAUCCAAGAAGAAGUCCUGAUUAUGAGAGAGCUGAAAGCCCAAUCAAUGAUAGAUCCCGUCCUAGUUCUAGACCUGAACCAAGGAGGAGUCCCAGUUAUGAGAGGGCUGCUAGCCCAGUCAAUGAUAGAUCCCGUCCAAGUUCUAGACGUGAACCAAGAAGAAGUCCCAGUUAUGAGAGAGAUGCAAGCCCAGUCAAUGAUAGAUCCCGUCCAAGUUCUAAACCUGAACCAAGAAGAAGUCCCAGUUAUGAGAGAGCUGCAAGCCCAGUUAAUGAUAGAUACCGCAGGUUUGAGCUUUUAGAUCCUGAAAUUAUGAACUUUUUUUUUUUUUUUUUUUUUUUUUUUUGGGGUGUGGUGAGGUGGGGGAGUGUUGCAAUGCAUUAAUAAAAUCACGUUCAACUAUGUGUUUAAUUGCUAGAGGGCACCAAUAGUAUUCAUCUCUUUUAACAUGAUUGAUUUCUGUUUGCAUUUCCUUCUGAUUUGUCAAUGUUGUAUUUAUAUGUGAAUAUAUUACAUAUGGUAGCCCCAUUUUGAGAAACCUUUUUAUUGUUGAUAAUGCAGCCGUUCACCCCCACCGCGGGAAAGAUCCCGUUCCUGAGAACCAGCAGGAUGGAGCCUCGUUGUAGUGGUUAGCUGGUCUUCUCUUUCAUUCGUAGUUGACAACUGAAGUUUGUUUAUUCCUUUGUUGUUAGUAUUCAGAGAUAUGAUGAGUUUGAACUUUCAAAGUGAUAAAUUCGGAAGUUUGUUAAGUAGCCAAUCAUGGUUUAUGAGACUCUGUUUGAUUUCUAUUUGUUUUUUAGUUUGUUUUCUAUAAAUUUAAACUUGGAAGUUCUCAGUUGUACGGUAGCUAGUGAGGGUAAGGUCAAAUCUGUAUCAUUGUUAUUUCGUAAGCCUAGUUUGGCAUGAAUGUUGGAGGUUGCACCUCAGUUUAAAAAUAUAUUAUUUUUUCCUUGGAAAGAAGGCUCACUUUAUAGGUUUGGGAGGAGAUAGAACAGUCUUUUUUGGUACUUUGCACAGGGAGUGAUUUUUGGGUUUUGUAUCCUGGAAUUAGAUGGGUUUAAAUUUUUUGAAGUUUGAAUUUGUACCAUCUUCGGGUAUAAUUUAAUAAACUUGCUAGUUGCUAGUUGUUUAUACAUAGGGUUUGGGGUAUCAAAUGACAGGCAAUUUGCGACAUUUUUUAAGCUACCUAGGUCCAGCCUGAAACCACCACUCAUGGGUUUUGUAUGUUUGGUAUUUUAUUCAAAUUCUCUGUUGGAUUCGAAUGUUUAUGCCUCGUUUUACUCUUUUUUUACAUACAACAUAAUUUGAAAUUAGCAUCUACCAGACCACUACUCUCUCAUCUCAAUGUUACUUAGAGUUCUGCAUUGACAUGAGUCUAUAACAGGAGGUGUAACUCAAAAGUAAAAAGAUCCAUCUUGAAAGUGGAUGGCGGUCAGUCGCUGAUGUAAGUGACUCACACAAUACUAACCGGUGUACAGCUCAAACAACCGCUUAGCGCCUUACAGCUAAACCAACCUCGCUUAGCGCCUUACAGCUUAGCCAAGCUCUUAGACUCAGGCGACUGUUGUUAUCAUAACUCAUAUAAAAGGCAAGCAGAUUUAGAAGUGCCAUCGGCAAACGCUGAUAUGGGAAGUCUAGUUGUAGUCCUAUAGUGAGGAAAUGGUGGAGAAAAGUGGAGCGCGAAAAGGACAAGAGAACGUGUGAAGGAUACACAGCCGACAGGCAACAGCGUCACGUCCCCUGCCACGCAAGGCCAAAGCCCAAGGCGUUUGUCUAGAUCCACUCGCUCAAACUCUAAUUUCAAUUUAGGCUCCUCCUCUAAUCAGUAGGCCCCAUUUAUGAAUUCCCAAAAGCUAGGUGCUUUGCUUUGUUUCCUGCAGCCAUUUUGAAAUUGAAAGCCGACAAAAGAACAAGGACAGUUUACCACCUUAACCAACGACUAGUUGAUUAUUUUAUUAUUAGCAAAAGCAAUUUACUACUUGAUUAAUUUAACUCAAAUUCAGCAAAAAUCCCAGCCAUAACCGAAAAAGUCGGUGAGAAAUAAUACCAUGAACUGUUUUUUUUUCCUUUGGGCAAUGAUCAGCCCUCAUAGUCAACUGGGUGCCAUCAUUUGGCAAAUGUCAAAUGUAAAAUGGUAAAUUUGAAGUUGAUCUGGAGGUAAAUUUGAAGUUGAUCUGUUAAGUGUCCAUUUGACAGUCCAUCCGAAAUGUCAAUAAAAAUAAUUUUAUUAUUUUUUGAGCUGGUACCUAUAAUAUUAUUAAGAAAAUAGAGAAAAUUUUAGUGAUGCCCCCUAGAUUAUAAACCUUGUUCCAUUUUGCCUUUUGAACAAUUCCUUUAAUCUUUCAAAUGUGCCCUCUUUCGUCAAAUUUGCUAAUUCUUCCAUCAAACUCAAGGGCUUUUUUAUCCAUUCAAGUUAGGAUUUGGUUUGACCCACUUAAACCCUAAUUGACUCGACCCAUUCUACCAUUCAAACCUCAUUUUCAUUUUAUUUUUAAUGUCCAUUAAAAAUACAAUUUGAAGGCAUAAUGGGCCGAGUCAAUUAGGGUUUAAGUGGGGCAAACCAAAUCUUAACUUGAAUGGACAGAAAUACUCUUGAAUUUGACAAAGGAACAAUCUAAAUUGAAAUAUUAAGGAGGCUCAAAACCAAAUUGAAAGUUGAGAGGGCAAAGUAGAAUAUGGUCUAUAUAUAGUUGAGGGGACAUUGCUAAAAAAAACCCCAAGAAAAUAUAAUCCCCACACCCAAAAAAGAAAAAGAAAAAAGAAAAAACAAAAAGAACUAAAAGACACAUACAUAGACUAUUUACAACAAAGUUUAGAAUAUAAAAAUAACUAUGGUAAAUAAAAUAAAAUUAAAGAAACAAAUAUCCUAAUUCUCAAACCAUCAUGAUUCACCAUACAUGAGUAUAUCAUAUGUUUUAUAGUUUACUAGAUUAAUCUAGCUUAAUUGUCAAUUAAAUUCUUCCUUUAAAAUCCUUCCACCUAAAUGAAUUUGGAAUUUGUUAAAUAGUAACUUUAAACCAUCGUGAAGUGGAUUUGGAAGACUUAUAUAUGGUGAAUCAUGUAAAAACUCAUGUAAUUUUUCUUCUUCUUAUAAUACAAACAAAACAAUUUAAUGUUAGCCUAAAUGACUUUGGACUAAUCUUCUUGUCUUAUGGUGAAUUAUGUAAAACUGGUGUCUUUUUUGCUUCUUUUUAUAGUAAAAAUACAACCAUUUAUGUGUAUACCUCAGUGAUUGAACCAGUCUCCUUGUCUUGUCUAUUCUUAUUUUUUGUUGCAUGUUUUUGGCAUUGUAAUCAUUUUGAUUCCUAACUUCCAGUAUGUUUUUGGCAUUAUAAUUAUUUUGAUUAUUGACUUUUCAUGUGUUUACUAGCACAAAAGAAAUAAAAUAUCAAGUUAGUUCCAAGAUUAAAAUUCAUAAUUCAAUACAUGAAAAUCAAGAAUUAGAUUAAUUAGAGAACAAUUCAUCUCAUACCUAUUCAUUCUUUCCUUUAUUCCAAACUUUCGUGAUUGAAUUCCUAAAAGACGCAAGCAUGAAUUUAUUAUAGUCAUAUCAACCACUUUAGUUAGAAAAUAGAAUAAAUUUGAAAUAUAUUAGUUAGGUCAAUUUACCCACUCAUUUGCAUCAAAGUUUAAUUUUCCUUCUUGUAAAUUAGAGUAAUUUAGACUAUCACUCGUUAAAAGAAAUUUCGUUUUGUAAUAAUGUUUGUAAAUAAGCCUUGAGCUUGUGGGUUUAUAUUUUUUAACCCCCGGAUAUAUAAGUAAUCUUAAUUGAAACAAGUUGAGAUGAUGCCACAUUCAAAAGAUCUUCAACUUCUGUGAACCAUAGCAAAGGUUAUAUAGGUAACUUCACUAACAUGUCAUUUCCCAACGAACUAUCUCUCUCACGGAAGUGACCAUCUUGAAAAGUCACAAGCCGCCCCCACCUCACACGUGGCUAAAAUUCCAUGUAAUCACAUCGGUAACGUAACAAUUCGAAUAAUUAAAAGAACAUUCAAAAUUUACACUAUAGGCAACGGUCGGAUUUUCUGUCCCACUUGUAGUCACAGCCGUCCGAUCCUGCAUCAUGUUCGACAUUUAAAACCUGUUGCCUGAAGGCUGAAGCAUGAGCACACAUUUCUCUCUCCACAAUACAUAGUGAAAAGAUACUUCCUUUUCUAAAUUAUUUUCUUCCAUUUAGAGAGAGAGGGACAUAGACAUUUUGUCAUUUUCAUUUAGAGAGAGAGAAAUUUGAAUGUGAAUGGGAUUUUAUACGUCUAUAUAUUUCUCUUGUCUGGUUGUGUUAAAAAAAGCUCGAAAAUUUGAAGUGGGUUCAAUUUGAAAUUGAGCAUCCUCAAGGUGUUGAAGAUUCGUUUCUAUUUUUCAGAGUCUGUGUCUGUUUUUUAAUGGAUUUCGAUCGUUUCGUCCUGUUUCUCAAAUAGCAAACAGAAAUCGUUUCUGGGUAGUUUCGGAGUGAGAAAGAGAGAGAUUAAGAUCCAGCUGCUCUUUGAUUGCUGAUUUUGGAAGCAUUGCUGAGUUGGGCUGCAAUUCGUAAAGAGAGGGGAAGAGGGUUUUAGAGAAAGGGAGGGGUCUGAAGGUCAAUUUGAUCUGGGUUGCUGACACUUAGUCACAGAAAAAACAGAGAGGUUUGAAGGGCAAGCUAUAGUGGGUUGCUUUUUAAAGAAAAAAGUAUACACGUUUCUGUCUUUCUGAGUCUUAAAGGUUGGUUCUUGGGCUUGUUUUUUCAUGCUUUCUUUAACCCCUCCACUUCAGAAUGUAAAAAAGCUAAUUUCUUUAUCAUUUUCUCUGGAUUUUGUGAUAAUCAGUUUUCACUGAUACUUCAUAGCUAGAUAUUUAUCCCAUUAAUUUCAGUUCUGGGUAUCAUUGUUUCCCUUUUGUGCUUGCAGGAACAGAAGGGACUGAUAGCGAGAGAGAGAAAGAGAAGGGGGCAUUGUCUCAUUGCUUGUGGCUGUCAAUGGUGGAACCAUUUGAAUUUUUGAGAAAAGUCAAAUCAACUUGAGGUAUUGUUUCAGAAUUUUUUCUUUGAAUUUUCCUUGAAAAUUAUUUGUGGGGUUUGGUCCAUCUUGCUGAAGUUAAACACACUCUAGUUAUACAACUUGGGAUAGAGACUGGAAUCUUCUCUUUGAAGUAAAGUCUAACUUCCUCUCUCUCCACCCACCUAGCUUCAUUUAUGAGGAAAAAUGGCAACAAAGCUAAGAAUCCCAACUUUCCCAGUCUCUUUCCAAGAAAUCUUGACCCUUGGAUGUCGAUAAAAAUCAAGUUAGUGAAAUCCAGUAAACUAAUAUGAUAUCACAGUCACCAUGGUCAUGGUUGAAAAAGUAAAUUUGUAACAAAAGAAACAUGUGCCAACUACGGCUUCUUAAUUGGACGGCACUGCUUAGCCUUUAAAAGCAACUUCAUUUAUUGUCAUCAACAAUUUCAUAUUAUAAAGUUCAAUGAUCAUUAUAAAUCUUAUUUUUUUAGGAUUCCAAUUUUCGUUUGGGGAUUUAAUGAUCACUUACCAACAGUAAGAUGGACUCCUUGGGCAUCUUUUAGGUAUUUCCAUAUGGUUGGUCGGGUAUGGUUUUCAGCGAAGCAAGCUUGCUGUGAUCAUACAAGAUUCUCGAAGCUCUUGAUGUUGGCCCAAUUGUUUUAUUAUAGCUGAUAUUAUUUAAUUGCAGCCCUGAUACAUAAUUUAUGCUUUUAUGAUUGCAACUGCUCCACUGCCUUUUUAGUUUUAUAUGCACAUAUCUUUACUUUGCAUUUUCUUAUCCGUUCAAUCCUUACAAGGCUUUGUUUUCUUCAAAUUUCAGGUGGUUGAGCUCUGGUCGCCAAUUUGAUCAAUACCCAUAUUGAAAUCAUGGUGGAGAAUGGUGGCCAUGAGGUUUUGACCGGUACCCGGUCAGCUGAAGAAUGGUCAUCACAUGCACGGGAGCUUGUUCCAUUGGCACUGAAUAAGGCAAGAGAGGUUAAGGGAUUUCCAGGUCGGUGGAAGAUGAUCAUUUCAAAGUUGGAGCAGAUCCCGUCACGUUUAUCUGACCUGUCUAGCCAUCCAUGCUUUUCCAAGAAUGCUCUUUGUAAGGAGCAAUUGCAGUCAGUAUCUAAGACACUGAAGGAGGCUAUUGAAUUGGCUGAGUUUUGUGUAGGGGAGAAACAUGAAGGAAAACUUCGGAUGCAGAGUAAUCUUGAUGCGUUGUCUGGGAAAUUGGAUUUGAAUUUGCGAGAUUGUGGGCUUUUGAUCAAGACCGGGGUGCUUGGUGAGGCUACGUUGCCUUUAGCUAUGGCUGGUUCUUCAACUGAACCUGAGACUGC
This 52634-nucleotide long non-coding RNA is filed under the name Prunus persica (peach). Its description in RNAcentral is "long non-coding RNA (PPER_LNC002707)". The record is from RNAcentral. Lineage: Eukaryota; Viridiplantae; Streptophyta; Magnoliopsida; Rosales; Rosaceae.